Molecule: long non-coding RNA, 55609 nt
Filed under: Vigna radiata
Lineage: Eukaryota; Viridiplantae; Streptophyta; Magnoliopsida; Fabales; Fabaceae
Description: long non-coding RNA (VRAD_LNC009527)
Source: RNAcentral
UAGAGCAUCUGACAGUGGGUAAAAAUGAAUUAAAGAUGAUUGUCAAUGGAGAAUUUCAGAGAAACCUUUUACACAAGUUAAAAGUUCUUACUUUGUGCUUUGAUAUUGAGUGUGAUGAAUAUCCGGAGUAUGGAUUUCUACAACAGUUGCCAAAUGUAAUGAAGCUUGUGGUGUGUGACAGUUCCUUCAAAGUCAUUUUCUGCGAUCAAAGACCUAAUAAUAGUGAAAUUCUUUUACAAUUGAAAGAAUUACGGUUGGAGUCCCUUCAAGAGUUGGUUUCCAUUGGCUUAGAAAACUCAUGGACUGAACCCUUUGUCAGAAAUCUUGAAACCUUUGAAGUCAUUAGCUGUUCCAAUUUAAAAAACUUGGUUCCAUGCAGAGUGUCUUUCUCGAAUCUGAUAUGUUUAAAAGUUGAAAAUUGCGAUAGCUUGUCAUAUUUAUUCACAUCUUCAACAGCCAAAAGUUUGGUUAAACUCCAAAGAAUGGAGAUAAAAAGGUGUGAAUCAAUUGAAGAAAUAGUGUCUAAAGAAGGGGAGGAAUCAGAUGAAGAUGAAAUAACAUUUCUGGAGCUCAAUUGUUUGAAACUUAAAUAUCUGAAAAAUCUCCGAAGGUUUUACAAAGGGAGUUUAAGUUUUCCAUUGUUAGAGGAAUUGUCAAUAAGAUGGUUCGACGAGAUGGUAAGUUUAUGUGGAGGGACUCUGGAGGCAAGUAUGUUGUCUGAAGUAAAACUUGAUUGGUCAACCACUACAUUGGAAACUGGUCUCAACUCUACUAUGAAGAAGGAAUUUCUGAAAAAGGUACGUCGUUAAUAUAUAUAUAUAUAUAUAUAUUUUUUAUUGAACAUUGUUAGGAUUAUUGUGUAUAUAAAAAAUACAGCCUCUUAUAGGCCAUUGAUUAUAUAUCUAUAGCCCAUGUUAAAAUAUACAAGACGGUUUAGGACAACAUGUUUGAAAAUUAUUAUCAUUUGUUCCUAUAACUUUUGAUUAUUACAUCCUCUGGUGGAUGUAAAUAUGAUUAUUACACUUUUUUUCCUAUAACUUCUAGUUAACACUAUGUCUAUAAUUUAAACUCAGAAAGUACUAUACUAAAAUAUUUCAAAAUAAACAAAAGAGUUCGUUAUAUAUAUAUAUAUAUAUAUAUAUAUAUAUAUAUAUAUAUAUAUAUAAUAUUUUUCAUUAAAAAUAUUAAAUGUGAAGAAGGAAAAAAAACAUUGUUUAAAAUAAUUAUAAAUUUUAUUAUUCAUAAAAGCAAUUUUUAUUUAUUUAUUUACACGUCUCAAAUAUAGCGUAAGGGUACAACAAAUUUUUAACUUUUAUGAUAACUAAAUAAAAUUAUAAAUAUCAAUUCUUAACUUGGUUUUGCAAGUCUUGGAGUCAAGAAAUGUGAAUUAGAAAACGUGAUUCAGUAGAAAAUUUCUUUUAAAUAUAGUUAAGUGAAUUUCUUUUCGUAAUAAAAAAUAAUUAAUAAUAAAAAUAGUGAGUAUUUCAAAUUUGUGUAGUACUAAUUUAAAAGAUAUCAUUAACUCUGGUAAAUAAUUAGUUUCAUAUUUUUAUUUAUUGUUUUGCACUUUCAGAUUUCAGAGCUUGACGAACUUGAUCUGGAAAGUGGGCCAAGACUACAAGAGAUAUGGAAUGGCUCACUGCAUAUCCCCGACCUCUGUUUCAGUGAGUUGGCCAAAUUGACUGUGAAUGACUGCCAGUUUUUGUCAGAUGCAGUGCUACCCUUCCAUUUACUUCCUUUAUUACCCAAAUUGGAGAUAUUGGAAGUUCGAAACUGCAACUAUGUCACAGUCAUUUUCGAUGUCAAUCCUUCAACACGAUACCCUUUAAUUACUCUUCCUCUGAAGAAAUUGGUUUUAUCGAAUCUUCCAAAUGUGGAGAAUGUUUGGAAUGAAGAUCCUCGUGGAAUUCUAAGCAUGCAACAUCUACAACAAGUGUUCGUUGAUAAAUGCAAAUGCCUUAAAACCGUGUUUCCAGCAUCAGUAGCCAGAGACCUUGUAAAACUUGAAGAUCUAGUACUGGAAGACUGUGAGGGAUUGAUGGCAAUUGUUGCAGAUGAAUCUGAUGAGAAGGAAGAAAUUAUAUUUGAGCGGCUUCAGGUUUUGGAUCUUAAAAGAUUAAAAGAACUAACGUGCUUUUACGAUGGCAACUUUACUUUAAGUUUUCCAUCCUUGAAGGAAGUCCAUGUCAUCGAGUGCAGCUCCAUGAAAACUUUCAGUGCAUUCAACAAAAUAGAUAAUCCGACAAGAUGGUAUUAUUCAGAACAUGCGAGACCCCGAAAGGAAACUGAUCUUAAUUCUGCUCUGCACAAAACUUGUGAAGAAGAGGUAUGCAUACUUUUACGUCUUAAUCUUUGUUCCUGCUAAUUUCUUAAAAGUAACUUUUGUAUAUGGUCUUAUGUUUUAAAUAGGCUCCAGAUGCUUCGAGUACAUCAAAUACUUGAGAUAGUGAAGAUAGCGGAUAAGGUACAUCAAAUAUUAACUAAUGCCACUGCAAUUGUUAAUCUUUUCUAGGGUGAGUUUUACUGUCAUCUUCUCUAUGCGCAUGCAGGUGAUGAUUAGUGAGCAAGCACUUUUUCACAACAUAACAUCAUGAUUACGUCUUAUUAUGUAAGUAACUUUUUAUUAGUUUCAUUUUACGUUUUAUUGAUAUCUAUUUAAGUGAAUAUUUCUUUGUCAUGUUAAUAGCUUGAAAUUCACUUAAUGUUACUUAUACUUCUUUAAUUAAAUUCAUAACUUUCUAUAGUAAUUCCUUUUAUAAUUCGUCGUCUAGGUUGAGUCUCUGUUGCCGACUCCAAUAUUGCAGUAAUUAAGAGGAGAUUAAAGGCGUGAAGAAUGGAUGAAGAUGAAUCUGUCUCGAUUUUAUUACGUGUGGUUGUGUUUUAAAGAAAAUGAAAAAAACGAAAAAAAAAAGUGUUAUUCUACCUAGUUGAAGAUGAAUGUGUUCCUAAUUUAUUAUGUAUGAUAGUGUUUCUUUUUCAAAAAAAAAAAAAAACUGUGUUGUUCUGUCUAGUUGAAGAUGAAAUACAUUAUUAUUUGUACUAUGUAAUGUGUGAGAUUAAAAGUGAUUGAAAGUCAUGAGUAUUGAUUAAAGACGAAGUGAUGAACUGUGUCACUAAAUAUUGACUGUAUUUGCAUAUGUGGUUAUGCUGGUUUAAAAAAACAAAUGUAUGUUUGUAUUCAUUUUCUGUUAAUUUUAUCUUUGUUAGGAAAUUAUGCACAAUUCCUCUUAAUCAGAUUUGUGAGAAAAAUAUAAAUGCAGAAUAAUGACACUCAAAAUAAAACUCUUUAGAUUUCACUGCAAAUGUAUUAAUGAUAAAAAAUAAAAUUACAAUAUCACUUUUUUUCUCUUUAUUUCUACUCUGGUUUUCUCUUUUUCUUCUCUACAUUUUUUAUUAUGUAUUCUUUCUCUUAUUUGGAUAAAAUCUCUUUUGACCAAUUUUAACAAUCUCCCACUUGAAGACUAAUUUUAAUUUGUCUUCAUAUCUUGAUCAUUAUACCACCAAUCUUCUGUAGUCUAUUAUUGUAGCAAGCCAACUGAAGUUGAACACAAUUUCAGUUUGUCAAUGGUUACCACUUUUGUUAACAUGUCUGCUGGAUUUUUACUUCCGAAAAUCUUUCUCAAUGUUAGCACCCCAUCUUCAAGCAAAGAUCUAAUGAAGUGAUAACGAACAUCAAUAUGUUCGUUAUCACUUCAAGCAAAAUUUUCAUUAUAAUUACUUAAUAGAUUUUAUAUAUUAAAAUUUAUGUUUUUAAAAUAAAAGUAACACAGUGGCACGGUAAUUAGUUAUUUAUUUUAAAUUUAAAAUAAUUUAAUUUUUUUAAACAUAAUUGUAAUAUAGCACUUAUAAUAAGUUUACUUACAUAUAUUUUCAUUGUUAUCACUAUGAGUAAUUUUAAAUUAAUAAACUUAUUUUUGGAUAUAUAAAUAUUUAAUAAAUUUAUAAUAUUAUAUUAUACUUGUCUAAAAAUAUAAAAAAUAGUAUUAUUAUUUAUUUUAUUUUUUUUGUUGAUAGUUUUGUUAGAGUAAUGUGUAUAUUAAAUUUAAUUAAUAUAAAAAGCUUAGUAAUUUGAUAAUUUUAAUUUAUACACCAUUUUUACUGUCAUUAGUACUAAUAAAUAUAUUAUAAAUAUAUUUUUAGUUAUUUUAAAGUUAUAAUUUUAAAAUAAAAAAUAUUAAUUAUUAAAGUGAGUGCUAUAGUAAAAGUUUUUAACUUGAAAUAUGUAAUUUGUUUUUCUUUAACUUUAUGGGGAUAAAAAAAAGUAAGAUUAUAUUUCAAAGGUAGAGAAGUAAUUUAAUAAUUUGUCUGAUUUACAGGUCAGUUUCGCAUACACUGAAUAUCUGUGGCUUGAUAACACUGAUCAUUUUAUUAUAAAGCAACUAUGGAAUAACACUCAUUGGGGGCAGCAAAAGAACUUUGGGUAUUUGAAAAGGUUGAGUGUAUGGUAUUGUGAUACUCUAAAGCAUAUAAUUCCAUCUCAUUUGCUUUCUUGCUUUCACAAUUUGGAAGAGUUAGAUGUAUACUAUUGCAGUAAUGCAGAGGUGAUAUUUAAUAUGAAUGAUGAGAACAGGGUGAUGACAAAACCUUCCGGAAUAUUCCGUCUGAAAACAUUGUAUUUAGAUAAUAUACCAAAACUGAAGCAUAUAUGGGACAAGGAUCCGAAGGGAAUUAUUGACCUUAAUGCGCUAGAGGUAAUGCGUGUUGAAAAUUGUAGGAGUCUUACAACUUUGUUUCCAGCGUCGGUGGCCAAAGAUCUUAACAGACUUGAGGUGUUUAAAGUAAUAAAGUGUGAUGAAUUGGAAGAGAUAUUUAGGAGUGGAGAAGAAGAAGGAUCAAUCCAAGAGUCUGUUUUUCAUCAACUCACCACAUUGACGCUACAACAAUUGCCACGCCUCAAAUAUUCUAUCCACCGCUCCAAACAACAGGCAAUUCUCACACUUUUUACUUUAUCUAUUCUUACUCUUAUUAUUUCUAUUUUAUAAAAUAUAAAUUUCUUCCUAUUAACAACAAAAAAUUUGCUCUCCAUGCUUUGUCAGUCGAGAAUGGUAAUCGGUGUUGUUUUCCAAGGAGACAUCCUUCGCACGAUUCAUUAUUUUCCUUCAAGAAUGGAAGAUCUCUCAUCAUGUUUUUCUGAUAUAGAAGCUUUAAGGCAUGUCUGUUGAAGUGGCCAAAUCUCCUAUGCCAAAGCCAUGAGCAUCAACUUCUACCUUCAUGGCAAUAUUAGUUCCAGGUUUGAAGCUUAUAGGAAAGCUUCUAUUUCUCUUCUCCAUUUUUACUUGGCCAAUUUCUAUCAUUUUACUAUCAUAAAUUUUGCAUGUAUCUUUCUCAAAAUGAAGAGAAUAUCCAUUNUCCAUCAUUUGGCCAAUACUUAAAAGAUUNUCUUUAAGAUUAGGAACUAGUAAAACAUCCUUGAUGAAUUUCGUACCUUUCUUUGUUUCCACCAUGACAGUUCCUUUGCCUCGAGACUCCACUGUUGUGCCAUUUCCUAGCCGAACUUUGACAUUGACAGAUUUAUCAAUGUCUUUGAAGAUGCUUUGAUCUUUCGCCAUGUGAUUGCUACAUCCACUAUCCAAGUACCAACUUCCUUCUCCACNAGGNGAUUCUUGAUUGGCGUAGAAUAAGAGUUUCUCCUGAUUAUCUUCUUCUGCAAAGUUUGCUUGAUGCUUAUUUUUAUUACGACAAUACUUUUCUAUGUGACCAAAUUUCUUGCAAUAGUGGCAUUGAGGUUUUCCAUGAUGCCAACAAUCCUUUUUCAAGUGAUUUGUCUUUUUACAGAUGCCACAUGGAGGAUAUAUUUUCCUUGAUGAGUCAUAGAGAAGCUUCUAGAAUUUUCUUUAUUUCUAGAAAUUUCUCCUUUACUUUUAUUUCUUUCACAUUCUUUCUGAGACUACAAUUUUAGUUUUGAUUGAAAGGCAUUUUCAACUGAGUCUUCUUCAUGCCUUUUCAAUCUUUGUUCAUAAGCUUCAAGAGAGCCCAUUAGUUGUGUUACUGACAAUGUAGUCAAAUCUUUUGUUUGUUCAAUCGCAGUUGCGAUUGCAUCAUAUUUUUGGGGAAUUGAAAUUAAAAUUUUCUCAACGAUCUUUUUGUCAAGAAUAUUUUCCCCAUAGGCUCUCAUCUGACUAACUAUUUCUUUUAUUCUAGAAUAGUAGUCUUUGAUGGUCCCAGAUGCUUUCAUUCUUAAUAAUUCAAACUCUCGUCUUAGAGAAUGAAGUUUAACAUUGCGUACCUCGUCACUUCUUUGAAACUCCUCUUGUAUUGUGUUCCAAGCUUGUUUUGCACUUGUGGCACCAAUUAUCUUUGGAAAAAUUGUGUCAUCAACUGCUUGUUGAAGAANAAAUAAAGCCCUUGAAUCCUUCUGUUUGUUUUCCUUCAACUCCUUCUUUUGAGCUGUAGUAAGAGUGGAGGUGUCUUCUGGAAUAAUGAAUCCUUCUUCUGUGAUGUCCCAUAUAUCUUGAGAGCGGAAGAAUGUCUUCAUUUUGACACUCCAGAAAUCAUAAUUUUCUCCUGUGAAAAUAGGUACUGGAAGUGAUGAUGUUUGAUUGGUAGUAGCCAUGAAUUGAGAAAAUAUUUUGGAGGCAGUACAAAAUGGGGUUAUAGUUUUGUUUAAGGUAGUUGAAAAUUUUAUCUACGCCUAGUAGAUGACCGAACGUAGCUCUGGUACCACUGUUAGUAUUUACAGGUUGUGAAAGGAGUAGUUGAUAAAGUAGAGAAAAUGUGGAGAUAGUGGGAUGUAGAAGUAGUAGUUGGAAGAAGUGUUGUAGUUGUCUUAGUUGUUAUAGAUGUUGGCUUCUUGUCUACAUACAUCAAAUUGUAGAGUUCAUGGGUAUUUAUAGACCCAUAGAAUAUUCUAGAACAUGCUAGUCACAACUUAUGUGGAAUGUUCUAGAUUUUUACCUAUGUAGAAUAUUCUUGAUUUUUCUUCCUAUCUUAGACUUUUCUACAAUAUUCUAGAACUUGUGUUACAUUUCUUUUCUUCUAUCCUAGGAGUUUCUACAUUAUUCUAGAAUUUGCAUUACACUUUAAUAGUACGAAAUACUGUGAAAAUUAAAAUAUGAAACUUUACUUAAAAAUCUUUUAUCUUCUUUUCCUAUUAAUCUUUUUUUUUCUUUAUAUCAUUGUUAUCAGAACAUGUAGGAUCGAAAGUAUGUUAAAAGUGUAACCAUUGUCGCAGAGUCUAUACAUCGAUUGGGAUGUUUCAGUAAUUGAAUAGUAACUUCUUAAUUGAAGUCUACAACGAAACAAGUUAAAAUGGCUAUUCAAAAUUAAAUUUGACAGAAGCUUAUUCGAAAACGUAAGUGCAAAAGAAGGUACUUAUUAUAUUAUUAUAUGAAAAAAAUUAAAUAUGAUGUACUAGAUUAGUUAUAAUUUGUAUAUUAUGUUCAUUAAAAAAUUAAAACAAUAAUAUUUUACUAAAAUUGGUCUCACUGUAAUUGAGUCAUUAUUAAACCUUAAACCUGGUUUUCACUAAUUUAAUGAAUUUGUCUAGUUCCAUAGCAUCAUUGAUUUAUUAUAUAAAUAAGUAAAAAAAUAUGUUGGUAUGGGAAAAUAGUGUAAGAAAACGGGGACAGAAGGGGUUAUCCUGAGCCCCGAACACAUAGCCAAAAACGCCUGAACUGAAUCCAUGCAUUCGGAUGAAGCUGCAUAGGAGUAGCAUUCAGCUCGCAUAGGACGACCGACUGGAACGCCAUAAAAGGUACCCGAACAAAGAGCUGGUUGAAAAGAUUGGUGUACGAUAGGGUAACCGGACAUAUUGGAGUGAUCGGUCACACCGGCAGUAUGAUCGGUCAUACCGGCAAUGUGAUCGAGUUCCCUAGUGCGGUAAAAGAGGGCGGCGUUAGCAAUGAAAGAGGUAGAACAGCUGCGAAGAUCGGUCGCGCCGACGGGAUGGUCGGGACAGCCGACAGUAUGAUCGGGGAAUGAGAAAGGAGUCUACCAUAGCAGAAGAAGUGAUGCAAUGCUGAAAUGUAGGGAUGUGAGCACAAAUUAGGGCGAAAGUCCCGCCGAAAUAGCAGGGCACGUGAUCAGCAGUCGCGUUGUGGGGCGAGUUCCAUGGGAUCAUGGACCUCUGAACACGGACAGUUGCAGGAAAAUCUCAUGGAUCAUGGGCCACUAUGCAGGCAGUUAUAGCCCAUAUCUUACAGUCCAUAUCCAAAUUUAUCACCUAUAAAUAGGAGAGUAAGUAGUCAGGUAAAGGGUUGGAUUUUUAUUCAUUACUUUGAUAAUAUAGCGGUAGCCUUGCUGACUUGAUCGUCGGAGUGCUAACUUGCAGGUUGCAACCGUUCGGAUAAAGAGAGAUAAGAAUCCUGAAACACUCAGUUAAAGAAGUCCAGCGUGUCAUCGUAAUCCAUAGGUGAUCGGUGUCUUGGUUCCCAUCCAAAACAAUUGGCAUACAUGGAAAAUAAGUCAUUAAGACUUGACUCUUUUCCAUGGAAAAUAAGUUAUCAAGACUUGACUCUUUUUCAUGGAAAACGUACAUACUCACGUCGUGUGGCGCCUAGUCAUACCCUCGGAUGAUAGGUAAACUACCGACCGGUACUAGAGGAACAUCGUGAGCAGGAAUGCCCUCCUUGAGUAAGUGGAUGGGUAUCCCGUACACAACCCUUUCACCUCCAAACACAGGAGAAUGCGGCCCUGAAUCCUCUUCCUCAUUAUUUACAAGAGACAGAGGCCGCCUUGAGUCUGAAUCCCAGUUGGACCUCUUGAGAUAUGAUGACGACAAUGAACCGGGAGACCAGGGCUGACCGUCGUCACCCCCCGCUGUGUCGUCGCUCUUUUGCUCAACAACUCCAAAGAAGACUCAAUGUUAACAACUACCAUUUAUUACUUGAGGCAAAAAGAAUGUUGUGAAACUGGAAACGAGAGAAGAAGUGAGAAAAGAUGAAAAUGACAGCGACCCACACUCCUAUUUAUAGAAAAAUUUUGAAAACCGUCAAGCAUCGCCACCAUUAAAGAUCGCCACGACUAACGACCCAGAUUCGAAAAUGUUUCAAUUGCCUUGAGUAAGCGAUCACCCGACAUGUGUUUUUCCCGCCCAAACCCCAUUCCAAUAUAGUCGGGCAAUGACGAAGUCAUUAAUGAAGUCGUCAUAGAACCAGAGAUAGCUUAAAACCCUACAUCAACUAUGUUGCUUAGGGUUUGGGGUACUUGUGUACGAGAUGGGUCGGGCAGCCACAAGAUCAUCUUGAUUUGUGCGUCUCACAUGCUAACUUUUGAGUCGUCCCAAUUUUAGAAGGGUCAGACGACCAUAGAACCGCCUCGUAAAGACCCUUGACCGGACAACCUAAGACAAAUGAUUGGUCAGAACCAGCGGUAAUCAUGUUUACAAAAGGUUUAAGGUAAGAAGUGAUUAAAGCCAUUGGGCCGAAAUUGGACCGUGAUUAAGAUUUCGCUAAUCCCAGGUCCAUGGUGAAAACUAUAAAUACAUGUCACAGGUAAGAAGUAGGUGGUUCACAUUUACUACGCAUUUAUUACUGAUCCAAUAUCUACGAAUGAAUUGUUUACUGACUUAAACAUCGGAGAACCUUUCAUGGAUGCACCUCUAGGCAGGAGAGCGAAUAAGGAGACCAAAGAACGAGAUCGGACGACAUUGAAGGAUAAAUUGUGGAGGUGUUUGAAUUGAUUCGACUUUGCAACCGAAACAAUUUCUAUUAUUGAAAACAAUUACUUUUUUGGAAAUAUACAAACACAAGAAACUCAUAACAAUGUAAAACCGCAACCCCUCUCCUCUCUUCAUUUUUAUUCUUCUGGAUGUGUGCUCUCUGCUUUUCUCCUGCACCGUGUGUGCUAUCACCACUUACAUUUUCCGUGGCUCUUCCUCUCUAGAUUUAUAAUAAUCAACCAUCACACUCAAAAUCACAGAUUACUACGAACAUAAUUAUAAUACCACCACAAUCAAGUCCAAACACCACUUUCUUGGAAGGAGUAAAAGUAGCUCCAUGAUAGGAAAACAACCCUACUCCUGUCCACAUCUUUUGUUAAAAAGUGUGGGGCCAUUUAUAGUUUAUUCUACAGUAUUUUCUGUCAUCCACCAAAUGUCAGUGUCUUUGGAUUAUGACCCUGAUAAUAGAUCUACACCAAACAAAAAUGGUAAACAUAUAUAGUCACUACCCAUAAAGUAAAAAAUAAACUUCCUCAUAACAUGAAAAACAUAGCCGCUACCGAUGCAGAAGAAACUACCCAUCCCAUAACAUAUCUAAUUCACAUGACCCACCCACAUAUACACCAUUGAUUAGAUUAGUGGAGACACCACAUGUACUCUCUGCUUGAAGCAAAUAUUUUUUAUAAUACUUUUGACAAAAAUGCACUGUUUUUAUAAGUAUAUUACCUAAUCGUCAAGUGAUGAUUGUAGUGUCAAAGAAUCAUUUUCUUUUAUAUAAACGAGAUGUUAUCAUGACAAAACAGAGUUGAUAUCAUUCAGCAUGUGCCUUACACUUUGCUGCAAGUGUCGUAUUUUCUUGUAGCAUCACGUAGUUAAUUUGUCUCAGAUUAUUACUUUUCAGGAAUCUUUGAGCAUGCAAGGUUAUUUAUGUCUUGUGUAUAAAAGAGAUGGAUUGCUAAUUGCCAUAACCUGCUUUUGCUUGUGUUUUUUCUCAGUUAAAGUGGUUGUCACUGGGGAAUAAUGGAGUAGAGAUGAUUUUGCAUGGAGAAUUUCGGAGAAACUUCUUAGACAACUUAAAAGUUCAUACUCUCUGCUUGAUUAUUGAUGCAUUUGGGUAUGAAAUUCUAAAACAGGUUCCCAAUAUAGAGAAGCUUGUGGACUUCAUUUACGAUUAUAGUGGACUUCAUUUACGAUUGAAAGAAUUACGCUUGGAGUCCCUUCAGGAGUUGGUUUCCCUUGGGUUAGAGAACUCUUCGACUGAGCCCUUUAUCAGAAAUCUCGAAACCUUUGAAGUGAUCAGCUGUUCCAAUUUAAAAAACUUGGUAACAUGCAGAGUGUCUUUCUCGAAUCUGAUAUGUUUAAAAGUUGAAAAUUGCGAUAGCUUGUCAUAUUUGUUCACAUCUUCAACCGCCAAAAGUUUGGCUAAACUCCAAAGAAUGGAUAUAGAAAAUUGUAAAUCAAUUGAAGAAAUAGUGUCUAAAGAAGGGGAAGAAUCAGACGAGGAUGAAAUAAUAUUUCCGAAGCUCAAUUGUUUGAGUCUUAAAUAUCUGGAAAAUCUCCGAAGGUUUUACAAAGGGAGUUUAAGUUUUCCGUUGUUGGAGGAAUUAUCAAUAACAGAGUGCGACGACAUGGUAAGUUUAUGUCCAGGUACCCUGGAAGCAAGUAAGUUGUCUGAAGUAAAACUUGAAUGGUCAAACACUGCAUUGGAAAUUGAUCUUAGCUCUACUCUGUGGAAGGAAUUUAUGAGCAAGGUACGUGUUUAUUUAUUCAACAUUCUGGUAGAAAUGAGGGACAUAAAAUUUUAAUAAAGGUUUAAUCAAGUGUAUCUACCUUUCCUUUAGACCUUUUAUUUGAAAAAACAAUGUACAAAAUGCGUCUUGCAAAACAUUCAACUCACAAAUGAAAUAUUUUCUUAUCUAUGAAUUCUCUCUCCCCGGUUAGUUUUAUACCUAAAUGUAAAGUAUUUAAACGUCGAGUUUUCUUUAUAUAUUUAACAUUCUUAAAAUUAAUUGGAUGUUAUCUUUGAUAUAUAAAAGAAUGCAUUCCUUAUCAAAACUGCUUUGGAUGACCAAGUCCGAUGGUUACUUAUUAUGGAAAUUAUGUAUAGUACUUGCUAGCAGUUAUCUGCAAAAGAAAAGCAACUUUUUUAAUUAGGAUAGGUCAAUAUUGAUAUUAUAAAUUUAUGACUUUACCUAUAGUGCCUCGUCGUCAAACUUGUUACAAAGAAAAUAAUAUAUGUUUCAUGUUAAAAAAUUUGCAGAGAAGUUUAUGCAGAUAAAUUCUAAUAACUCCCAAAAAUAAAUACUAUGUUUAAUUAUUUUUGUUUUCUUAAAUAAGGUAAAAAAAUCACUAAUAAGGUUUCGAUUAUUGUGAUGUUAUUAAAAUGUUUUAGAGAAAUUAUACUUCUACCAUUCUUAGUUAUACAAAUGUUUUAGAGAAAUUAGUCUAAGUACAAUUUAGAAACAAUUUUUUGAUAACCAAAAUCUUGACAAUUAAUGUUAGUGACCAAUUUAUUAUAGUGACCAAUUUAGAAACUAUUUCAAUUAUUAAUAAUUUUUAAUUUAUAAAUUGAUAUCUAAGUUAUUUACUAUAAUGACUAAUUUUUUUUGUGACUAAAAUUAGUUAUUAUUUGGAGAUUUUCUUGUGCAGUGUAUGAUAUAAAAGAUAAAAGUUGAAAACUUAAAUAAUUUAACUAGCAUUUAUAUAUCUUAAAAUCUUGUUAAAUAAACUUGUGUUUUCUUUAAUUUUAAAUUGUGUUAUAUUUUUAUUCUAAAGAGGAAAUGAGAAGUUUUUCGAUAUAAUAUAUCUCAUGCAUGUCUAAAAUACAAAAGUUUAACAACAAUUACUUGUUAUUAUUGCCACUAUAUCUUAUUUAGGAAAAUAUUAAAAACGAUCUAUCAUUAUCUAAUGUAAAAAAUAAAAAUAAUAAAGUCAUAUCUUAUAUAAAUGUUAAAAGAUAACGUAUUAAAUGUUUUAAGAAAAAAAAAUAAUUUAAGAAUCUAAAACCAACAUAAAAAAAGGUUAAUUCUAAUAACAUUUAAAAAGUUCUACAAUUUGAAAAGAAAAGACAUUAAAAUUGAUCAUUGCAUUUCUGAAAAAUUAGUUAUAAUUGGUGGUUUCUAGCAAAAGUAUAUUAAAAAAAUCUGAAUUAUUGUUAUCCAUGUAAAAGAUUAAUUUCAUAUUUUUAUUUAUUGGUUGAUUUGUGCUGAUUUCGCAAGAUUGGAAGGAGAUCCAGUGUUGAGUUCAAAGAUAGGUCAGACCUAAACGAGAUAUGGCGUCUUUCACGGCAAAUGAACGACUUCUGUUUCAGUAACUUGAAAACCUUGGUUGUGGAUGGGUGCCAACUUUUAUCAUAUGUAAUCCCCUUCCAUGUGCUUCCUUUGUUACCUCAAUUGCAAACAUUGGAAGUUCGAAACUGUGAUUCUGUUAAAACCAUAUUUGAUGUCAAAUCUUCACAAGAUACAUUCACUUUUCCUAUGAAGAAAUUAGUUUUAUUGAAGCUGCCAAAUCUUGAAACUGAUUGGAAUGAAGAUCCUGCUGAAAUUGUUACAGAGCCUAAUCCAGCUCAUCCAGAACAAACAAAUCCUAAGGUUACAUUCCCCUGUGAUUUGCCCAAGUUCAAGCAUAUUCGUAUACAUUGCAUUCAUGAUCCAACAGCAUAAUAGUACAUAUAUUCUUGUACUUCCAUUGAAAUUAUCAUGCAUCAAAUAUUGCUUAAAUCUCCUACCAAUCAUCGAAAGUCUCUCAUCUCAUUUAUCAAAUUUUUCAUCUAAAAUUUUAAACUCGAAAUUGUUGCAAGUGCAUACGGUAUGGCCUUAUUAACAGCUACCCGGCCUGGCUUGUUCAUCUUUUUUAGAGUUUUUAAAAUAAACGUUUUUUCUUUCAAAUUGACUAGUUCACACCUAUUUUUAUUUUAUAUUGAUUUGUUUAGUUUUUUUUUUACUAAUUAUCAGACUUAUUUUAGCAUAAAAAUUUACGGUUUCAAUUUUAUAUAGAGAGACGAAUAUAUAUGACUGUGCUAACUGCUUUCACUUCGUUAUUGGUUUUUCUUUGUAGAUAAUUACAUCGAACUUAGAACAUCUGACCGUGAGUGAAAAUGAAUUGAAGAUGAUUGUCGAUGGGAAAUUUCAGAGAAACCUUUUAAACAAGCUAAAAGUUCUCGGUCUGUGCUUUGAUAAGAAGUGUGAUGAAUAUCCGGAGAAUGGGUUUCUACAAGAGUUGCCAAAUGUAAUGAAGCUUGUGGUGUGUGGCAGUUCCUUCAAAGUGAUUUUCUGCUAUCAAAGACCGAAUAAUAGUGAAAUGCUUUUACAAUUAAAAGAAUUACGUUUGGAGUCCCUUCAAGAGUUGGUUUCCAUUGGCUUAGAAAACUCAUGGACUGAACCCUUUGUCAGAAAUCUAGAAACCUUUGAAGUCAUUGCGUGUUCCAAUUUAAAAAACUUGGUAACAUGCAGAGUGUCUUUUUCAAAUCUGAUAUGUUUAAAAGUGGAAAAUUGCGAUAACUUGUCAUAUUUGUUCACAUCUUCGACAGCCAAAAGUUUGGCUGAACUUCAAAGAAUGGAAAUAGAAAAGUGUGAAUCAAUUGAAGAAAUAGUGUCUAAUGAAGGGGAGGAAUCAGAUGACGAUGAAAUAAUAUUUCCGAAGCUCAAUUGUCUGAGUCUUAUAGAUAUGAAAAAUCUCCGAAGGUUUUACAAAGGGAGUUUAAGUUUUCCAUUGUUGGAGGAAUUGUCAAUAGGACGACUUGGGUAAAAAUAUAUAUAUAUAACCUUAGGUACGACUUGGGUAAAAAUUCAUCAAAAUAAUAUUCAUAAUAGAAUUAUACUUUUCAUAUAUUUUUAACUACUAAGAGUUGCCUACUGCAAAACUAAAUCACAAAAAAAAAAAAAAAGAUAGAUGGAUUUUGAUUAUUACAAUUUUUUCUAUAACUUCUGAUUCAAACUGGGUCCAUAAUUUGAACUCAAAAUUAUAAUAUUUAUUUACAAAUUUAAUUAAUAUUAUAACGAAAUUUAUGUGAAAAAAAUUAAAAGUACUAUACUAAAAUAUUUCAAAAUAAACAAAAUAUAAAUAAUAAAGAGUUCGUGAUAUAUAUUAUUUGUACUUAAAAAUAAUAAAUAUGAAGAAGAAAAAAAAAGAACAUUGUUUAAAAUAAUUAUAAAUUUUAUUAUUCAUAACAACAAUUUUUAUUUAUUUAUUUACACGCCUCAAAUAUACCGUAACGGUUCAACAAAAAUAUUUAACUUUAUGAUAACUAAAUAAAAUUAUAAAUCUCAAUUCUUAACUUGGUUUUGCAAGUCGUUAGGAGAAGUAAUGUGAAUUACAAAACGAGAUUCAGUAGAAAAUUUCUUUUAAAUAUAGUAAAGUGGAUUUCUUUUCGUAAUAAAAAAUAAUGAUAAAAAUAGUGAGUAUUUCAUAUUUGUAGAGUAAUAAUUUAAAGGAUAUCAUUGACUCUUGUAAAUAAUUAGUUUCAUAUUUUUAUUUAUUGUUUUGCACGUGCAGAGUUCAGAGCUUGAGGAACUUGAUCUAGAAAGUAGGCCAGGACUACAAGAGAUAUGGAAUGGCUCACUACAUAUCCCCAACCUCUGUUUCACUGAGUUGACCAAAUUGACUGUGAAUGACUGUCGAUUUUUGUCAGAUGCAGUGCUGCCCUUCCAUUUACUUCCUUUAUUACCUAGAUUGAAAACAUUGGAAGUUGGAAACUGUGAUUCUGUCAAAACCAUAUUUGAUUUCAAAUGUACAACAAAAGACACAUCAAUUACUUUUCCUCUCAAGAAAUUGGUUUUAUCCAAGUUGCCAAAUCUGGAGGAUGUUUGGAAUGAAGAUCCUCAUAGAAUUUUAUGCAUGCAACAUCUAGAAGAAAUACAUGUCAAGGAAUGUAAAGGCCUUAAAAGUGUGUUUCCCGCAUCAGCAGCCAAAAGUCUUGUGGAACUUGAAGAUCUAAUAGUGGAAGACUGUGAGGGAUUGAUGGCAAUUGUUGCAGAUGAAUCUAAGGAGGGGGAUGAAUUAGAUGAGAAUACGAUAAUGUUUCCUCGGCUCAGUUAUUUGAAGGUAGAAAGUUGCAAUAGUCUGCCAUAUUUGUUCACAUCUUCGACAGCGAAAAGUUUGGCUAAACUAAAAACGAUGAAGAUAAAAGAAUGUAAAGCAAUUGAAGAGGUAGUGUCGAAGGAGGGGAAAGAAUCUGACGAGGACGAAGAAAUAAUAUUUAAGCAGCUCGAGGAUUUGUAUCUUGAAAAGUUAGAUAAGCUACGGUGCUUUUAUUCUGGCAAUUUAACUUUUAGUUUUCCCUCCUUGGAGGAAGUAUAUGUCAUCAAGUGCAACUCUAUGAAAACUUUCAGUGCAGUAAACAAAAUAAAUCAUCCCACAAAAUGGUAUUGUUCAGAAUAUGAGAGACCCCAGAAAGAAACCGAUCUCAAUUCUGCUGUGCUCAAAACUACUGCAAAGGUGGUACCUACACUUUUACGUCUAAAUGUUUCUUUAUAGAGAAUGAUAGAUGAUAUUGUCCAGGAAUUAUAGGUUCCUGUAUAACAAUAUUUUCAGACAUUAUUUUUAGUGUAAUGUGUUUUUUAGUUGCAUCGUGCUUAAAAUUAACUUGCACAUAUUCUUUUGUUUUAAAUAGGCUCCAGAUGCUUCUGGUGCCAUCAUUUCAGUUCUCCAAUAGCACAGAUAGUGAAUAUGGUACAUCAAAUAUUAUCUAAUGCUACUAAAUUGUUACUUUUUUUAUGGUGAGUUAUGAGUUAUACUAUCAUUUUCUCUAUGCAUAUGCAGGUGGUGAUCAAUAAGAAGCAGUUUUUCACAGCAUUACAUGAUGAUUAUGACUGAGUAUGUAAGCAAUUUUUUUUAGUUUAAUUUAAUAUUAUAUUGAUUUCUAUUUAAAUGGAUGUUUUAGUUGAGACUUAUGAUAGAAUGAUAUUCUCUAUAUAUAAUGCUACUUUUACUUCCUUUGUAAUUAAAUUCAUAUUCUUUUCUUAAUAACUUUUAUGAAAGUAUAGUAAUUGUUCUUGUACAUUGUAUAGGUUGAAUCUGAGUUGCCGACUACAAUAUUGCAGUAACUAAGAGGAGAUGGAAGGCAUAAUUAAAGAGUGCAUGAAGAUGAAUCUAUCUCUAUUUUACUAUUUUUGUGUGAUUUUUUUUCAAAAUAAAAAAAAAAAUGUGUUUGUUCUAGCUCGUUGAAGAUGAAAUACAUUAUAUUAUUUAUAUUAUGUAAUGUGGGAUUAAGAAUGAUGAACAGUCAUGAACUGUCACUAAAUAUUGACUGUAAGUGCUUAUGCCGAAAAAAAAAAAGUGUGCUUGUUUUCAUAUGUUGUUAAUUUUAUUUAUAUCUCAGGUUUGAUCAUAAUACUUUAUUGGAGCUGAGCAACACUUAGCCUGCUUUUACUUCGUCAUUGCUUUCUAUCUGUAGCUAAGAACUUAGAAAAUGAAAUGAAGAUAUUACUCUGUGCUUUCAUAUUGAGUUGUAUUUCUGGAAUUUAUGGAACACCUCUUGUGGUGAAAUGUGGAGAACCUUGUGGUGUGUUAUGGUUUCUUGAAGGGACACCUCUUACAGCUGAAAGAAUUACACUUGAAGUCCUUUCGGAAAGGGGUUUUCAUUGGGUGAGAGAACUCUUGAACUGAGUCCUUUGUUAGAAAUCUUUGAAAUCAACUGAAAGGAAUGGAAAUAAAAAGGUGAAAAUGAAUUAAGAGAUAGUCUCGGGGAGGAAGUGAGCAUGAAAAGUUAAUAUUCGUGCAGCUGCAGGUUUUGUAUCAUUGGCUAAGCUGUUUUUAUUGUAUCAAUUUUACUUUAUGUUUUCCUUCGAGGAAGUGUUCCGAAGAUAAUAAAAAUAAUAUUCGAAAGUUAAAUUUACAUAAUUUUUUUAUAUAAAAAAUAUGCAAAGUAAUGAAAUGUACCAAAUAAAAGAAACAAAUUGCUCACACUGUCUUUUACAAGAAAAGAUUUUAGACUUCAUUUCUUCAUCAACCAUUAUGUAGAAAUUUAUUUAUUUUUAUUGUUUCGUUUGUGAGAAUUUUUAAAAGAAAAGUUUGUUUAAAAUAUUUUAUAUGGUAAAAUAUUAAAAAUGCUAAUAUUUUUCUAUAUAAAAUAUUUAAAAUAAUAAAGUUAAGAGUGAAACAAUAAAAUCAUAUCUUAUAUUAUAUAAGAAAGAAAACAUAGUAAAUAUUUUAAGAAAAAUAAGAAUAAAUAUAAAAACGCUUCUAGGACCGUUAAUCAAACAUAAUUUAAAAUUUCAUGUGAUAGAAAAUUAAAUUAAAAUUAAAAUUAAGUAAAUAUGUAAUUUGCAUCCUUGUCCGUUAAUUUAGUCUCAAUCAAUCAAGCUGGGGUUGAAUUUCAAAAUAACAUCUACUGAGUUCUAUUCCUAAACUAAAAAAAGGAUUUCGUCUCUUAAAACUAAUAAAAAAUGAAAGUUUAUGAUGGUUUUAAAAGUUAUAGAAUUCAAUAAUAAUCACAAAAUAAAAAAAAAUUAAAAAAUAGUUAGAGAUCUUUUUAUAAAAUGCUUAAAUUGAGGAAGCAAGUAAUAUUUUCUUACUGAAAAAGUUGACAGUGCAAAGAAUUUCCAAUUUUACGAAAAUUAAAUUGGAUUUUAAAUCAAAGACAAAUUUUAAAUGAAUUGAAGAUGAUUGUGGAUGGAGAAUUUCAGGGUAACUACUUUCCCAAGUUAAAAGUUCUUAUUCUGUGCUAAAUGUAUUUCUAGAAUUUCUACAACUGGUGCCAAAUGUAUAGAAGCUUGUAGUGUACCAUGGUUCCUUUUUGAAGGGGAUCUUCUGCUGUCAAACUUCUAAUAAUGUUGAUGACAGUGGGCACAUCUUGCAGCUGAAAAACUCAUUGAAUUUGUCAUAUCUAUGACAUAUAAUUAAGCAUGCUGCAAAAUUAUUAUAAUUUAUUUAAAUAUUUUAGAAAUAAUAUAUAUAUAUAUAUAUAUAUAUGAGUUUGUUUUUCAGUUGAAUCUAUGUUAUAGGAUGAUAUAGAAAAUGUUGGAAUGAGAGAGAUAAAAGAGGAAGGAUUGAGAAGAAUGAGGGAGGUAAGUAAGAGUUUGGGUUUCUUUUUUCUUUUUUUAGUUGUGAGAAUGAAAAUUAUUUAAAUACCUUGACUUUAAAACUUAGAAUUUUUUCUACUAUUCAUAAUACAUUGUUAAAACGUACCAAUUGAAAAACAGGCGUACCCGGGUUAACAAAUCUCAUAUAUAUAUAUAUAUAUAUAUAUAUAUAUAUAUAUAUAUAUAUAUAUAUAUAUAUAUAUAUUUAUAUAUAUAUAUAUAUAUAUAUUUAUAAUACAAUAUAAUAUAAUGUGUGUGUACCUACGACUUUUUAAACAAUUCUUAAAAAUAAUAGUCAUAAUUUGAUUGUUCUUCCUUUUUUUUUAACUACUAUAUAGGAGUAGCCAACAAGUGUAGUGUAGGUGACACCAAAGAUAUAUCAAUGUAAUUUUAAUCAUUACAAAUUUCUCUAUCUAAUUAAAAUCUACACACUAUUUCUACAAUUUAAAUUUCCAAUUGUAUUGAUUUACAAGUUUAAUUAAAAAUUAUGAUGAAUUUUUUUGAAUAAUGUUGAAUAAAAAAAUAAAAGUAACAAAGGUUUGUGAUGAAGAUAUCUGACAUGGGAGUGAAAUGUUAAAUGUGAUAGGUACUGCUUUCAUGGUAUUCACAAUCAACUGAAUUCUAUUGAUAGCUGGAGAUAGAAUUGUUUUAUUUUUACCAAAAACUCAAUUUUUAUAUAAAAACUAUUCAUGAAGAUCAAAGGAAAAAACAAAAAUGUUUAAAAUAAUAAUAAAUUACAAAUUUUUUGUUCCGAUAACUAAACAAAAUUAUAAAUCUCAAAUCUUAACUUGUUAAGAAGCUCUUGAAGUGAUGUAAUCUAAAAUAGAAAAGGGGAAUCGGUAGAGAAGUUAUUUUAUAGAUAUAGUCAACUGAGUUUUCUUAAUUAAAAAUAAUUCUUAAUAAAAUUAGUAAAUAUUUCAUAUUUCUUAAUUAAAAAUAAUUCUUAAUUAGUGAAUGUUUCAAGGUGACCACAUUGACUGUGUUCAUGUGCAGGUUUUUUUCUACGAAUAAAAAAUAAUAUACAUUUUCUUUCGGGAGAGAAUCUCUAACUAGGAUAUUAUUUUUCUUCCUUGUAAAUAUAAUUCAAUUAAUUAAGAAAGUUCAAUAACACAGGCAUAAAAAAAAAACAAAGGGUAGUUAUUCAUUCUUUGAAUUAUUAUUUUUGUUUUUAGUCUUAUUAUGCAUAAAAUUAACUUCUAUAUAUAUUCCACUAGUGUAGAAAAGAAAUAUGAUAUUGAUUGUUUUUAUAAUCAGUAACGAUUUCGCUACUAAUGCAUAUUAAUAUAAGAUAAAAAAAAAAACUUUUAGUUUUGAUUAUGAAUUAAAACAAAAUGGUUCACAAUUUACUUUGGCAAUAAAAAAAUAAUAUACAUUUUGUUUCGGGAGAGAAUAUGUAAGUCUGAUUUUAUAAUUUUAAAAUUAUAAAAUCAACUCUGAAUUAAAUCAAUUUUAAAAUAAAAAUAUAUUUGGCAUUGGUUGUAGUGAACUAAUAUGCUUUACUUUAAAAUUAAUUUAAAAAUUAGCAUAUAAAAUUUGUUGUAAAAAACUGACAAAAUAGUAUUUUAUGAGACGGUCACUGUCCUUAAGGACUUUCCGCAGUGUGUUGUGCAAGUCCUCAAUAUACAACCAGAACUUCUCAGUUGAGGCUCAGAACUAGCAACGAUUUCUUUAAAGAGUAUAAAAACAAACCCAGAAUAUUUUUAGAAGAGAAAAAGAAUACAAGAAAAUAAGUUUUUAGUGUGUCUUGAAAUGGAGAAAAAAUUUUCUAUUUAUAAAACUAGGGAGGAAUCAAUUAAAUAAAAGAAAUUAAAAAUCAUAAAGAUUUUUAAGGUUGCAGCAAUUAAAAUAAUUUAACAUUAAUGUUUGCCAAUUAAAAAAUAUAAAGGUUGUAAGUUAAGAAAGUUAACGUUGGCAAAUAUUAACGUUGCAAAGCAACGUUUUCAUAUUUUGCAAUAUAUUAUAACAAAAUUUUAGAGUCUACUACACAAUGCAAAUUGAACACACUAAAUAAUUAGCAAUUUAGCAUUAACUUUUACUUGUUAGGAUCUACCUAUGAUCAAAAUGUAUAUUUUCCUACAUAAUCAAGCAAUAUUUUCCUAACUAACACUCUGAUUUAGAAAUUCGCAAUAUCCCUCCAUAAUCAAGGAAACAUACUUUUCGUUGAAUGUUAAUUCUAAAAUAAAUUACAAACCUCAUUUGAGUCCCUUCUUUUUAGAAAAAUCUAAAACCGAUAUAAUAAAAUCAAUUAUAACUAAAAAAUAAAAUUGAUUUAUCUGGACAGUUUUGGAUUUGUUUCUAUACUUUUUACGUGGCUAGGACUUUUUAUUUUAUUUUUGUCUGUGAUUCACUUGUCUAUUACAUGUAGAACAAGUAAUUCUCGUGUAUUAUAUCAGUAAAAAUGUCUAAAUAAUUAUCAAUUUUAACAAUAUUUUAUUGUAUAUAUAAUUAGCCAUAAUCAAAUGAUAAUAUGAAAAAUUUACAUGGUAAGUUUUACCAAUUUUUAACUCACUUUUUCUUUCUUACUCAUAAAGAAGCGGAAUAUGACAAGCGCAACCCAAUUAUUUAUCUUCUCAGAAAUUAAAUUUUUUUAUUUUUCAAUAUAAUUUAUUGAUACAUUAAAUAAUUUUUUAUAAUUUUUAUCGUGCAUAAUAUUCACAAUGUUAUUUUUUUUAGGAUUAAUUUUUUAUAAUAUUUUUAUUGUGCAUAAUAUUCACAUUGUCUGCCACAUUUUACAUAUUGUGUAAGUGGACAUAAAUAUAGACAACUGAAAGUUGUUUACAUUCAUUACAAGACAAUGCUUCAUUGGUGACCCUAAUAACAAAUCAACGGUAAAAGAGUGUCUGUGUCGUGUAGGCCGAAAGCCCAUCCUUCAACCCUCUGGAUACGUUUUGUAUCGCUUGAAAGAUCGACUUUAGUAUGGCAUCUAUUUGAUCAAUGCUUAUAUAAUUUUGUAUUAAUUAAUAAUUAAAGCUAGCCUUGGUAUUAGUUAAUGCUGUAUAUUUAUUUUAAAAAAUUUAUAUUAGAGAUAGUGUUAGUUUAACUGAUAUUAAUUUUAUUUUCUUUUAGAAAAAUUCAUAAUAAAAAAAAUUAUUUUGUAGUAUUGACGUAGCUCAUGAUAUUAUUGUUUUUAUUAAGUUACAUCCAUAUAGAAUAGGUUUGGCUCACUUUUUCAUUAAUAUUUUUAUUGUUUAUUUAUUUUCUCUAUUUAGAACGGAUUAGAAAGAUGCUUAAUUUUGUAAUAUAGGCUUGAUCAACAUGAUGUUUAAUAUUAUUAUUUUUUAUUUGUGUUUGGUUAGAGGGAUCUUGUUAUAAACUCUUUCAUUAAAUUUUUAUUUAUUUAUUUAUUUAUUCUACUUAAAAUCGAUUAGACCAACACUUAUAUUUGUAGUGUAGACUUAAUCUACAUAAUGUUUGAUAUUAUUAAUUCUUAUUAAAUUGUGUCUAUUUAAAGUGGUGACAACUCUUUAAUUAAUAUUUUUAGUUUUUAUUUAUUUUUUGUAUUCAGCGUUUAUAUUAAUAAAAAGUUAUUUUAUAGCGUGAUUUAACUUAUGUUCAAUAUUAUUACUUUUCAUUAAUUUGUAUUCAAUUAAAGUGAGCUAACACACUCUUUCAUUAAUAUUUUUUUUUUUUUAUUUCUUUUACUUAUUUCGGUACCAACAUUUAUAAUAAUAAAAAUUCAUUUUGUAGCACCGAUUUUGACCAGAGCUGUUAAAAUUGAUUAAUUUGCGGGCCAAUCCGAUCCAUCAUGGGUUCGAGUCGGGUUGGGUUUGAAAAAGUUAUAUUUUUUUUUUGUGUGUCAAUUUACUCAUUUAAACUAGGCUUAUUCGGGUUGAACUCGUGGUGGACCGAAUUGACUCACCUACCUAAUUUUAUUUUAUUAAAAUUUAAUUUUAAUUUUAUAAAAAAGUAUUUAUUAUUAUUUUUUGCUUGAAAAAUUAAUUUAAGUUCUCUAUUUUUAAAAUUAAUUAAACACCCCAUAUUGUAUAUAUUCAUUUUGGGAGUGUAAUUUGUUUAGAUUUGAAUUACAAAAAGUUUGUAAUUUUUUUUAUUUAAAAAAAUUGUACUUAAGUGAGUCAAUGAGCCAACCUAUUUAUCCACCAACCUGUGGUAGGUCAAGGCGAGUUCGAAUUUUUCUAACUCGUUAAUAAAUGAGUUGGGUUGGAUUGACUCACUAAGUGAUCAAGUCGGACUUGGUGACCUGCUAUGAUAACACUAGUUUUGACUCAUACAAUAUCUAAUAUUUUUUUUUUAUUUGAUUAAUUUGCACUCAUUUAGAGUGGAUUUGAUCCACUUAAUUCUUUAUAUAUUUAAGUUUGUAUUGAGUUAGAGUUGGUUUGAGGGAGUUAGAGGUGAUAUUUAAUGAUAAUUAAUAUCCAAUACUGUUGUACUGAGUGUUGAAUUUGAUGAAGUAUUACAACUUUAACAUAAGUUUAAAAUCGGUUGGUAUUCAUAAUAUUACAAAUAUAAAAUUUUCUUGAAGUAGCCACAUUUUGCAUAAUGCCUAAAAACAUUAACUUGUAAGUUUCCUAGACCUACGCAGUGAAAUGAGAAGAGUAUUAAGUUAAAAUUACUAUGCAAUAGUGACGGAAGCUAACAUUGCAUUUCACGGGGGACAAAAAAAAAAUAGAGAAAAUACAUACUCGUUGAAUAUUAGACGAUAUAAAUUAAAAUUGUCGUCUAUAACUAUAUAGACAAUGAUUUCUGUUUUUUUUUUCGAACUUUGGAUGACCGAGUAUAUAGAGAAAUCAUCUCCUAUAGAGCAAUAGAUGAUGAUUUUAAGUUAACCGCUUUCUAAUCUUUCUCAAUAAUUUAAAGAUUAUGACUCCUUCGUAAUAAAUAACAUUUUUAAGAAGAUUACCGUCUGUUUUCAUAUAUAUAUAUAUAUAUAUAUAUAUAUAUAUAUAUAUAUAUAUAUAUAGAGAGAGAGAGAGAGAGAGAGAGAGAGAGAGAGAGAUAUAGAUAUAUAUGAGUAAAAUGUAAUAAUUUUGUAUUUAUUUUAAUUAUUGAUAUAUAUUUUAUGGAACACUACCUUUUACCAUAUUAUCAUGUUAUAAUGAAAUGUCUGUUGUUGUUGGUUUUCUUUUUUCAUGUUAAUUAGUGUUUGAAGGAGUGGGUUGGUUAAUGUAUGAUGCAAUAACAAGGAUUUUAGAAUAAAUUAGACGUUUAAUGAUUGAUUACUUUGUUGAGUGGGUGGAAUGUGCACCAAUAUUUUAAAACGACUUGGGAAGUGUUGUAAUGAGUCAUAAAAUAAAGUGAACAGAAGAUCCUGAUAGAUAUCUAUCUAAUCUUUAUGGACUACAUGUUUUUAUAUAAUCCAAAAGAUAUUCUCUCCGCGUUACCUUUCACAUGUAAUAAAAUAUAAACAAUGACAGUAAUGAUUACAAAUUUAAAGCAUUAUUUGUUGGCUUUUAGAGACUAUAGCAUGUGAACACUAAAAGUGUUGUGUAAUACGUGAUAUUACCGGCCUUUGCCAAAUACCUUUUCUUUUCUUUUGAUAUAUUUUAAAGUGAAGGGACUGAUUGGAGGAAGAAGGAUAUUGAAGUAUUUAUUUUAUUUUCGGAUCAUGAUAUUUUGAUAACUUUUUUAAUAAUAUUUUGAUAACAAGGUAUGUGUCAUCACUUUAUUGGUCUAUUUGAAUUUAUGUUUAAAAAAAUAUUUGAAAUGGACCAAUCACAAGUUGUUACGUAUGUGUUGUUAAAAAACUGUCAAAAAAAGUGUUGUUAAAAGAACUUUUUCCUUUAUUUUCUUCUGUUUUGACUGUUCUUUCAAGCUUUGUUAAGAGUCUCUCGCUGCUUUAGUUGUCGUCAUGGUGUGGUAAAGUAAACUCUCAUGAAAACAUGAUGCUCUCUAUUUGAACUUCAGGUUUUCUAUGUCUUAUUAUACUAAAAAAAAUUGAAAUUAUUGACGGACAUAAUCCAUCGAAAACAAUCAAAUUAUGUCUGUAAUUUAUAUUUUCUGACAAUUUACCGACAAUCAAAGAUUUGUCGGUAAUUUACAAUCGGUAACCAUUAUCGACGAAUAUUGAUUGUCAGUAAUUACUGACGAACAUAUUCUUUGAUAAUUACCAACAAACGAGCCUUUCGGUAAUUAUCGACGAUCGUCGGUAUGUCUAUCGGUAAGGUCGUGAGAAAGUCCCAUGGAAUUUGUAUUGUUUGACUACCCCACAUUCACAUAAUUAGACUUGCACAAAACAAUAAUAUGUAAUCCAUAUCCAGACAAUCAGAACUAUAAAGACUACAUUAAACCCUACAUAUGAGAAACAUCUUUGGUACAAAUUUUUCAUAUAUUGAUUCAGUAUAAGCAUAUAAACCUAUGUCUUGUUUAGUAUCAAUUUGAAUAUCCUUAACAUUGGACUCUCCACUACACCCACUCAAUUUGGACUGAUUUAUUCCAUUGAUUUCGACUAUUCACUCCACAACUACCUUCUUGACUUCAAGAUCCUUUUUAGCCAAGUCAACAACAUCCUUAUGAAGAGAACACCAUUAACCAUUUUUAUAGAACAUCAGACCUUGAGCUAUCUACUAAAGUUUAGAGCAAGAAGAAGAAAGAGGAGAAUGAGGAUUAAGAAUUUUAGAACCCUGUGUGUUUGUGUUUACAUUUUUAUUCUUUAGUUUAAUGCAGUUUCAAUUUUAGGCUAGUUUAGUAUCAUUUAAAAGUUGUUUACAUAGUUACCUAGCAUUUUCAAUUACUAUGAGUAGUUUUCAAUUUAGGCAUUUUUAGCCUAUUCUAGUUGCUCAUUUUAGUUUCUAGGUAGUCAUAUUUUGAGUUUUAUGUAGUUUUUGUAGUUUGAGUUGUUUCUUAGCUAGAAUUUACCAUUUUAAACUUGUUGGCAUAGUUUAUUUACAGUUUCUUAGGAUAGUUUAGUACAAUUUUCAAUUUUGACCUCUUAAGAAGAGUUUUUGAGGUUUUGUUAAUAGAUUUUGUCUCUAUUUUUGACUCAAUUUUCCAGAUUUAUACAUUUCCAAUUUUGCUAGCUAAGCUUUUAAAUAGAUAGGGUAUCUAGUUGAAAAGUUUUUCCUUAGCACUUAUUGGUCUUGUUUGACCCUUUUAUUCUGAAUUAUAGUUCAUUGAAAACCUUUGGCCUAUAAAACCUUGUCUAGACCUUGUCAUAGAGCUGUGGGGUGAAUUAGGUCAUGCAAUGGACCACUGUUGAGUUCAAGUGUGGGGAUGUCAUUGACAAGAGAGUUGACCAAUGGUUGGUUUGCAAUUGAGCUUCAAAUGUUAUAGCAAUUGUGGGAGAAGCUAGAGAGAGAUUAAAAUACACUUGUGCUGAACUUAAAAGAGAUUAGAAAAGACUAAAAGCCUCUAGCUUUCAUUUGCAGUUACUUAAUUUUGUUUAGAUACAUUUUUGUAGUCAAGUCUUAUUUGCGUAGUUUUAAUUCUUGUGUUUAGUAAUACAAGAUGGUACAUAUGUUGAGGUUUUAGAGGUACAUUUGUCAUAGGAGAAGCUUUCAAGAUGAGUUUACCAUGAUAAAAAAGUUUCAAAAGUUACCAUAAUGGACUUUCACAUAGGAAUUGAUUUUGGAGGCUUAAGUGGAGUGUCAUGGUAUAGUUGGACUUGUUACUUCCUAUAACAGGUCAAGGAGCUUAAAGAGGCACAAGGGAUAACAAGGAGCUUAAGUGGAGUGUCAUGAUCUAGUUGGACUAGUUGGAUUUGAUUUUGCUUUGUGUGCUUGAGUGAUUUUAGGUUACAUGAUGUAUCUGAUGGCAGUGAUGACAUCAUCUACUAAUGGAUGCUAGGAGGACUCAGAUAACAACAUUUACUGAUGAAUGUUGUUAUGAUGAAGAUGACGAAUGAAAACAUCUAUUGAUGGAUGUUGCCAUGAUAAGGAUGAAGAAUAAUAGCAUCUACUAAAGGAUGAUAUGUGAUUAAGCAUCUAUUGAUGGAUUCUAUGUGAUUAGACAUCUAUUGAUGGAUGUCAUUGACAACAUUUACUGAUGGAUGCUGAUGAAGAUGAGAAAGAUUAACAUCUACUAAUGGGUGCUAAUGAGAAAGAUUCGCAUCUACUGAUGGAUGCUAGAAGAUUCAGAGAUAGCAUCUACUGGCGAAUGCUAUAAUAUCAGGAUUUUUUUUAUUUUUAUGCUUGUUUGAAUUUCGUUUAUUUUGUUUUUAAUAAGCUAUGUACUUGGUUGAAAGAAUAACUCUACAAUAGUUUAUGAACUAUUUUGUGAUGAGUAAUAUUGUCUUUUGUUGCUCUAUGGUUUUAAAAUGCAUGGUUGAGUUAAUGAUUGAAUUAGCUAUUAAGCACAAAUAGUGGUUGCUCAUAAUUGUUUAAAACAGAUGCAUGGUUUCAAUUGUGAUUGAUAUGCUUGGCAAGAUAUAUAUUAAAUUGUGGAACUUGAGUUAACCUGUGAGAGGUUGGGCUCCAGAGUUUUAUUGUUGAAUGCUAUUGCUUUGGAAUCAUAGUUGAUUAUGCCUAAGUUUUUCUGUUGAACUAUUUGCUUGGAUGUGUCAUAUGAUCAAGGCCAUUUGUUCUUCUGCCAUAUAAGCCAAUGCAAUUUUUGAACCCAACAAAAGAACAAUGUUUGUUCUAUCCUUUGAACCUUAAGCCUAAAUUUGUGAAAAAACCCUUUUUGAAAUCUUUACCUUGAGUUGAGUUGAGUAGAUUUGUAUGGUAUGGAGAAAGGUUCAAGUUUGGGGUUGUUGAUGAAAUUUGAAGAAGAAUUGUGAAAAUAACAAUAAAAAGAGCAUUGAGCUAAGUGUUGAACAAAAUUGAAAAAGAAAAGAAAUGAAGAAAAAAAAGGAAAAGCUCAAUGAAUGAAAAGUUGGGAGUAAGAUGAGAAUGGUUUCUCAAAUAUAAAGGAGAAAGAGAGAUUAUGGUUAAUGUGAAAGGAUUUUUUUUACUCUCUUAACUCAAGGAAUUUUGUUGUCCAGAAAAACCAAUUUUCAGCCCAACCACGUUACAAGCCUUAGAAAGUCCUUAUGAUGAUAACUUGCUUGGGAAUGUGUUUUAAUGUGUUUAAAUGAAUGGAAAAUUUGAUCUAUGUGACAUUGUGAUAAUAGAGUGAAAGAGACACUGACACCUCACUAUACACCUUUGAGUUUGAGUGAAACACUUUUGAGUGCUUAAGUGAAAUACUUUUGAGUGCUUGAGUGAAAUACUAUCUUUGGUGAGGAAUGGUUCCAUGUAUUACAAGUUAACAUUCUGCUUGGUUGUUGAUCACUCAUCUUUUUGCAUAUGUUGUGUAUUCAUUGUUAUGUAGGCACCAUAAUUGAAGCUUAAUUGGCUAAGACAUCAUUAUUUCUUGACUUAUCUUUCUAUGAUGAGCAUACAUGAGUGAUUUACUUGUCUUAGAGAAAAAUGCUUUCUAAUGUACUAGACCAUUGUAGUAUAUAUAUUUUAUGUAAGCCAAGUUACAUUUUGCUUGAGCGCAAGCAAAGUUUCAAGUUUGGGGUUGUGAUAACGGUUGAAUAUACUAUUAUCAGUGAUUCAAUUUUGAUACUAAAUGCACCCUUCUUGACUUAGAAACUUGCUUUAACUCAUGUUUUUGCUUUAAUUUUUUGAAUAAGAGAAUUGAGGUUAUACUUAAUGAUUUUAUUACUAAAUUCCCUUAACUUUGUAGGUUAAUAGAGUGAUUUGGAAGAGGAGUCAAAGUAUGAAGGAGUCGAAACUCAAGGAGCGAGCAUAACUACAGAAAAAGAGAAAAAAAUAUGCAGUGCUGAAAAAGUUGUCCAAGCUGAGCACCCCUUUUAGGGGGGUUGAGUGCCAGAAGUUGCUGUCCAAAGCUUGGGCGCUCUUUUAGGAGCGCUAAGCACCAGAAUUUGCACCACAGCACGCCUGGGUGCCCUGAGCGCCAGUACUCGCUAUUUCACGCCUGGGCACUAAGCAUCGACGACGUGGGCUUGGACUUGUUUUCUGUUAUUUUUAUGAUCUAUUUAAAACCCAAAUGUCCUAAGGUUUGUAUCUUUUGAUGGUUUGAGCACAAAAACACGUUUUUCACCCCUUUAGGGACAAAUUUGGGGAUGUGACAACUCUCCUCUUCUCUUUCUAGGAUUUUUCUAUUUCUUCCAUUCCAUUGUACACCUAUUUUCUUCAUGAUGAUGGAGAACUAAUCUCAUUUGUUAUUGGGAAAGAUGUAACCUCUAACUCUCUUGUAUUUGAAUUGAUUCUUGUUAUUAAUAUAUGCUUCUUUCAUUAAUUGUUAGGGCAAUUCUUCUUCGCUCAAUACUUGCUUUGUUUAACUCAUUCAUUAGCAUGAUGUAUGAUUUGCAUGAGUAUCGAAAGGUAUCUUACAAUUCAGGUUUUUGAGAAUUAUUCCCAGAAGCAGUAUUGCUCAAGAAUGGGGGUAUGAGUUCUGGUUGUAUUAAGCUACUAAUCGUAAUGCAUAAUUAAUUGUUAGGGAUGCAAGGAAUUGAGACCUACUAAUUAAGGAUAGGUUUUCUUUGCCGAAGAAUUGGGUUUUAAGUACUUUAGAUAGUGACAUUGACAUUAAUGAAGAAGAUGAAUUCGUACAUGCACGAAAGUAAUUAAGUGAAAUCUAAACUCCAACAACCUAUUCAUUCCAUAUUAUCAACUUCAUCCAUUCAUUCUAGUGUUUAGUUUCAAUUAUUCAAAUUGCAUUCAUGUUUAUUUUUCUGCACUUUACAUUCAAAACUCCCAAAAUAUUGCUUUCAAUCUUAAUUAGUUAAGCAAAAGCACAACUGUUUAGUGCCAUGAGUUUCUUGGGAAACGAUACUUGGUCUUACAAUUUUAUAUUACUUGAUACGAUUUGUUAUACUUGCCAAUUCAUUGACAAGUUUUUGACUCCGUUAUCAAGAAUUAAAAAUUUUGUUUAACAAUGAGAAAGUUAUUUUUGGAUGUAAAUUACUUUUGAAUGAAGGACAUAAAUAAAUAAGUUGUUUAAAAAAAUAUACACAUAUGUUGUGGUGGUGCUUUUAGAUUUUAAGAAUUUAAAGUAAUGUAGGUUAUGCAAUCUAGCUCAUGGUUGGCCCCCACAUAUUACUAAAUAUGCGAAACAAGCAAGCAAAUUAAAAUACUCCGCUCAUAUGCAUUCUGAUUGGCCCGUGUGGCCAAUCCGAAUUAUCUCUAUCAUUGAAGAAAGAAAUGGCUUUUGCUGCAUAGUAACACAAGGUUUGAAGCAAUUUUUUUUUCUUCAAUACAUCUACAAGAUCAUAAAUCUUAAAAUCUCCUUAGUGGAAGAAAUCAUUCCGCUUUUGCACCGACCUACCAAUGACAGUUAAAUAUGUUAACAUAAUUAUAAUUACAUGGGUGGGUGGUUAUUAUCAUGUUGCAUACUUUUGAUGAAUCUCACCAUUUCCUGUAUGAUCACAUAAAAAAAUGUUUCAUUUCGUCGGAAUGUCAGAUUGUUAAAACUUUUUUUUUUCAGUGGGAAAUUAUUACAUUUGUUCACAACUGUGAUGAAUUUAAAUUACUCAUUGGGAAUUGAGAAAGUUGAAGAAACUGUUAUAGAUUUGUCAAUAACUUAUUUUAAUUAUAUUUCUCUCAUAUCGAGUCUCUUUAUAUAAAGAUUUUUAAUUAUUGAUAUAUCUUUCACAGUAAUGGGAUACUGUUUUGUGUUUUGUAUUAUGUAUGAUGUUAAUGAGAUACUCUCGUAAUAUACUCUUAGAAUACCCACAUACAUAGAGGCAAACUUAGCCCCUCACACUCCUUGUUCUCUAUUUUUCUCCUUCACGCUACACACUUCGUAGCUCUCUCUUACAACUAUGUGGUUUUCACUACUUCUUCACAGUAUGUGUUUUCCUUUAAGAUUUCUUAGUUUAUUUUACAAUUUAUUGGUAUCUGAAGGGCUGGGUAGUUGAAUGGGAGAUGUACUAACAACCAUCAUAGAAUAAAUUAGACGUUUAAUAAUUGAUUAGUUUAUUAAGUAGGUGGAACGUUGCCUCGUGUAAGAAUAUUUAGAAGGACUAACUAGUCUUGUAAAAAAUAAUAAAAUAAUCUGAAUAAUGUUUAAGUAAGACAACAUGUUUUAUUAUAACCAAAUACUCAUUCAUUCAAAACUCUGAGCUGCAUUAUUAUUUGGUAUAUAUUUUGAAGUGAAGGAAGUGAAUUGAGGAGAAAGAAUAGUGAAGUAUUGUCAAUCAUCCAUUCUCAGUGCUCUCUUUCAAGCUUUCUUCCGAGUCUCUGCCUGCUUUCUUUAGUUUCCCUCAUAGUCUGCUCAGGUAAACAAACACUCAUCCAAACUUCACACUUUCUACUUCAAGUUCAGCUUUAUCACUCUGUUGCUAUUUCUUGUUCUAAGAGAAGCACAUUAGACACCAACUAUGUUUCGUUUAUCUAUAAUAGGAAACGUUUUCGUUUGAAAUUUUACGCUCGGUCAACUUUCCUCAUAUUUCGACAUACAGUUUACAAAUUCAUUAAUUCUACAAGUUAAUAAAAAAAAAAAAUUGAAUUCCUUUUAGGUUUUGAUUUAGGUUUGUAUAGUUUUUUGCUUCUUAUCACUUUUACAAAAUUUUAAAUAAAUCUUCCAGGGAUUAUAAAAUAUGUAUUUUGUUUUUAGUUUUUGCAACAUAUUUUGUUUACACUGUAUGUUUUUAAAAUAACAAAAAUAAAAAAACAAAAUUAACCUCCCUUUCAAAAUUAUAGUGUGAGGUCUCUAACAUAUCCUCCAUGUGAAAAUUGAGAUUAAAAUUUUAUCGUGAAAGGGGAGCAAGUUCCUUCAUUAUUUUUACUUAUAGAGAAGGGAACAUGACAAGCGCAUCAUCUUGGUUAAGCAUGUGAAUAUAAUUGAAAUAAUUAUGUUUUUCAUCCUUUUUUUCAUCUUAUCUCAAAUAAUUGUAAUCUAAUUUUUUUACUUCAUAAGCAAAUAUUAUAUACUUAAUUUCUUCUUUUUAGUAUCAGACUUAUAAUGGUAAUUUUUGAAGGCUACAAAUCUUUUUAAACAAGUUGAAUAUGAUGACCCUAAAAGAUAUUAGCAUAAAAAUGAGAACCCUAUUAGAUUAAUUAUUAACAUAAGCAUUUGCUAUAAAUAGAUCAAGUGCAUAGCUCAACGAAAACAUUAUUUUCCCCUCAAUUCAGUACAACACAGGUGAAACCUCUCAAUGAUCACACGCACCGCCGAAGCGUUUUCAAAGAAAAGGGCUUGAAAUAUAUCAUUUAACUCAUUCGAAGAAGCUGGUGUGGAUCAGUUUCUCGUAUACUCUCAGAAACUCUCUUGCAGUGUUUCUCGGUGUUACGAUUUGGAAUAGUGACAAGCACAAGGAAAUCACAACUUAAGAUCAUCUAAUUCGAAUAACAGAGGUGCGUUUUGUAGCUUAUAUAAAUAUUGAUCUUAAAAAGUCUAGUAUACUUUGUGUAGAGACUUUAAGUUUAUGGAUAUUUUUAACUUUACUUUAGUCAAUUAAUCUUCCUUUUUGUCUUUUGUUAUUGUCUUUCACGAUAUAGAUGAGUAUUAUGUCUACAUAAUAUUCUCCUACAUUUAAGUAUGUUGAGUUAAUGUUAUAAUAAUGAACAUAAAUUAUUUACUUCUAUUUACUUCUAUUAUUGUAUUAUUUGAAGGAUAGUUAUGACUUAUUCAGUCAUCACUUAUAUGGGUCUAGAUGGACCCUAGUAGCCAAUUUACUUCAUGAGUUAAUUGUUUAAUCUAGAUUCUAUUAAGUUAUAUAUAGAGUAAUAUGUUAUUAGUUUUUUUAGCCCCAUUGAUAGUCAGACGGAACUACUUAUGGCCAGGUCUUGGUGGUUAUAUAAGUCUGUUUGUAUUUGGGUAGAGACAGUCAAUCGUUGUUUUUACAACUCUGACUUGUGGUGAGGUAGAAAUAGUAACUUACAAGGUCAAUUUAUGACCGAGUAAAACCAGACAGACAGGUCAACUUGUAGCCGAGUAGAAGCAUUCAAACAGACUGACUUGUUGCUUAUAAAGGCAAUAAGCAAGAUUGAUGUGUGGUCGAGUAGAGGCAUUCAGAAAGACCGACUUGUGGAAGGGUAGAGAUAUUCAGAGAAACUAACUUAUGCUUAGGUAGAAGCAUUCAGACCGGGUAGUUAACAUUAGCCUGGGUAGGUGACACAUAGUUUUGGUAGAUGACACAUUGCUCUCGGUAGAGGGUGUGUAGUCCUUAUAGGCAGCACUUAGAUCUCGAUAGACAGCACCUCUCGGAAGACGACGAAUAGUCUUGGUAGGAAACACUUAGUUUUAGUUGUCGGCACUUGGUUUUAGUAGGCGACAAGUAAGCGAUACUUGACUUUAGUAGUCCACACCAGGUAGGUGGUAGGGAACUGUAUGGAAGGUUUAACCAGGACUGUCUAGGUAGGCAAUAGGGACUUAAGCCAUGAUAUUUUUUAUCAUUAUAGACUGAGAUGUUCCAAGCCGUGAUAUUUCUCUUUUCUUUUCUUUUUCUUUUUUUUUUUUGGAAUGAAUGAUUCACAAUGGGCUUUUUCAUUUCCAAACAAGUGUGUGUAUGCAUUUAUAAGAAUCGUUCAAAAAUCAAAUUCAUAGAAACAACAACUUCCUCACUUUCUCUUAAAACAUUUUCAUCACACUCAAAUAUUCAAUGCUCUAGGUCAAAAUCAAACAGGAUAAUGAAUGAAUCAUUUUACAACCACAACCAUAAAUCUUAACACUUAAAUUUGCAAUGAUUUCCUCAAGAUAUACAAGUUAUCUUGUAAUGGAUUCAAAUCUCUAAAUGCCAAAAGAAAAAUAAAGGCAUAAAAUCAAGGAUAACCAAAAAAAUUAAUUUAAACACUACCUGAAAAUGUUCUAAAAUAAGUUAAAGUGUGAAUAUAAAACCUAAAACAUAUUAAAAGAAACUAUAACAACAAAAACAACAAGAAAGAAACCCUCAAACAAAUGGCUAGGGUCUCCAUGCCGUGUUAGGGCUCUCCUAUCCUCCCUAAUAUUCUUCAGCAUCCACUCCUUCUAUGCCAUCAUCAUCACGAAAGACAUUGAAGCUUCCCUCCCCCCACUAAGAGUCAGGCCUGUACUUAGGCCAAUGAACAUGUGCCUCAAACUAUGUGCCCAUCUUAAGAGAAUCCUCGAGGAAAUCAAGGACACUAAGAGAUAGAUAAUACAUACAGUCCAUGAGGGAAACCUAGCAUUGCCAGAUCACAUGGUAGCCUCAAAUGCAUCAAGGGAUUCACGUGUAAUCUUGGUCAUGAUGUUUUUGAGGCUCCAGUCCUCCUUGUGUGAACAUCCCCCUGCAUACACUUAGACACAACUAGGCUAAAAUCACAAAUUAGCCCAAGUGAAAGUGAAAAUCUAUUUACAAAAAAAGAGUUAGUUCUAUAUGCAAAAUCAACUCUACAUAUGUUAGAAACCUCACAAAAGUCUAGUAUUGACACGAGUCCCUAGUAACGGUGCCAAAAACUCGUUGGAUUGUUUGACAUGUGCAUCGAAUCGUCUCAAGUAAUAAACCAUGGUAAGACCAGGUAUCGUUUUCUCAAGAGACUCGUAUUACUAGAGAAUGGUGCGACUAACAACUCAUAUAGACUCAAUAGAACUACAUUCAUUUACAAGCAUGUGCAGAAAGAUAAAUUUACACAUAAUUACAUGGUUGGACUUUGGUAUUGAAGGCACAUAGAUAUGGCAUAGACUAUAAAUAAUAUGAAAUGACAUUUUUAAGGUUAGUUUUCUCCUAUUUCACUCUUGUGCUUACCAAAUUUCAUCUAACAAGCAAACCUGCAUUAAAGAGCUAGGAUCUUAAGACAUCAUGUGAAUCAUCUUCCAUCCUUAGAAUCAAUGACCACAAAGACUUUUGUUUUAGUUCUAGGUUUCAUCUUACGUCUCCAUAAUCCAUGAAACCCCAAAAUAAAGUGAUGAACAUUCCUAUUACAUGCAAGCUUUAAGAUUGGAAACAAGAAUAAUAGAAUUUGAUAGAAAAGGAAUAUAUAAAUACGAAUCAAUAACGCAUUACACAAGAAUUCAUUGGCUUUAUCGAUGGCCUAUCGACGGUUAAAAAGCCCUCGGUAAUUUGCUUGUCGCUAAAUUUUGUCCUUCGGUAAUUACCGAGGGCCAUAAGCCUUGAUAAUUACCGAGGGCUAUAAGCCGUCGGUAAUUACCGAGGGUCAUAAGCCUUCGGUAAUUACCGAGGGUCAAAAGCCUUCGAUAAUUUCUGAAGGGCGGAAGCCCUCGAAAAUUUCCGAAGGGCGGAAGCCUUCGGUAAAGCCUUCGGUAACAGUACGAAAAAAAAAAGUCAUAUUUGUUUUUGUUAUCCAACCACAAAUACCUGCAUAACAAAGUUCACAACAACACAGAUAGACCUGCAUACAACUUUCAAACCACAGACAGAGCUGCCUUUUGUGCAUCUGAAAACCAUCCAAUAUUAUCAUUGAUGAAAAAAGAUAAUGUACUAAAAUGAUCUGUAAAGUUCAAUAUGAAAUGUGAAACAUAAAACAAUAUCAUCUAUUUCUAAGCAAAGAUAAUGUACUAAAAUCAUGAUGUACUAAAAUUCAAAUGUACUAAAAUUCAAAUGGACUAACAUUAGUACUUUCUAACACCUAUGAUCAAUAACAAAAUAAAACUAAAAUACUACAUAGUCUUCAGAAUCAUCUUCAUCGUCCUGUUGAUCCUCUAUAGAUGGCUGGACUGGUGUGGGCUGGACUGAUGUGGGCUGGAUUGAUGUGGGCUGCUGAGGGACGGCGGGUGACAGGAAGGGUCGUGACUGGGUUGGAGGGACGGUCGAAGGAGUGUCUGAAGUUUGAGGCAGCGCUCUCAUGACCAGGGACUUGAAGUUUGUAAAUUCUUCUUUCAAUGCACAGUUUUCCUGGUCACGUUGCUCUAGUAGCUGUGUCAAGCGCUGGAUGGCCUCAUCAGCAGAAGGGGUGGAAGAAGAAGAAGAAGAAACAUCAACCUCCAAAGUGGCUUGUAGUGGCAUCUCAUGUUUUCUUGAGUUCCUUCCAAUCCUCAAACAUUUAUCACAACUUUUCGCAUGACCUUAAGCAUCCUUUAAAAUUAUCUCAUGCCACAAGGAUGUCAUUAUCAUCAUAUUCCUUUUUAAAGUGAGCAAAAAACCAAGCAUUUUGCAACCCAUCUNAGUUAAUUAUUUUUUGCCUCUAUGUAAACUUAUUACGAAACCCUUCCACUUUAAUAAACAACAAUGUUGUUGUUGCCACACAUUACAUACACUCCUUAUUCCUCUUUCUACCAUAUANAUUCUAAAUCAUGUUAGAAUACAACUACAAUUUUUAGAAGUUCCUUCUACUUUGACUACUCAUAAAAGUUCGCAACCCUUAAGUUCAAAAUACUUUUUUAAAGUCCUUUGAGAUGGAUUAGUUUAUGCACAUGCAAGAGAUUGUCAAUAAUGCUCUCUAUCGCCAUGUUGAACAACAAUAAGUAAACCAUAGUCUUGAUGAANAGUCUCCCAAUGAAGCCACUAAACAAUAAGCAAAAUUUCCUUGUGAGAGUAGCUUUGAUGUGGUAUCAAGGUCGAUCUCUCUCUAAGCUUAAGGUAAUUUGGCCUCAAGGUCGAGCUCUCUUUAAGCUUAAAGUAGUUAGGCCACAAAGUUAAGCUCUCUCUUAGCUUAAGGUAAUUUGGUCUCAGGGUCGAGCUCCUUGAUGGCUAUUGGGACCGAUCUAUUUGGAAAUGAUGAUCAUAUAGGUCGAGCUCCUUGAUGGCCAUUUAAGCUGAGCUCCUUGAUGACNAUUGAGGCCAAACUCUUUAGGCGAUGGCACCAUGGUGACUGAGUUCCAUGAUGGCUACAAAGGUCGAGCUCUUCAAGUAAGUUGGUUAUCUGACCGAGCUUUUUGAUGGCUAUAAGGCUGAGCUCUUUACCGUGAAGGUUGUUGGCUGAGCACCUUAAUGGCUACUUUGGACGAGCUUUUUAGACAAGUUGACCAUUUGACCAAGCUACUUUGAUGACCAUUAGGGUNGAGCUCUCUGGACAAGUUUUGGCCAAGCUCUAUGAUGGCUACAAAGCCAAGCUCUUUAUCAUGAAGACUGUCUAGUCGAGCUUCUUGAUGGCUAAUAUGGCCGAACUCUUCAAAUAGGUUAGCGGCGGCCAAGCUCUUUGAUGGCCAUUGGGGCUAAGCUCUCAAGACAGGUUGACCAUUCGACCAANCUCCUUGAUGGCUAUAUUUGGCCAAGCUUCCUUGAUGGCUAAUCUAGUCGAGCUCUUUAGAUCGGUUGGUCAUUCAGGCAUGCUCCUUGAUAAUUGUUGAGGUUGAGCUCUUUAGACGACGACCUUGUUCUUGAGGCUUUGUAAUUGAAUACCUGAUUUUUUAGCAGACCGAGUUCUUGUCACAAUUGUUGUAGUCAUUUUGUGGUUGGCCNUGAAACCCCUACCCUUGAUGUUCUUUUUAUUGGACUUGUAUUUUCUAUUGUUGGCCAUGCUUCCUUGUCGGGUUAUAUUAUUUGUUGGUUGUGUACUAUGUUACGUGAGGUUGAGCUCUAUUGUGUGCUAAUUAUGCUUUGAGGUCAGAUUGUGUUCUUUGGUGAUUGGGCUCUACUGCCGAGGUGUGUUCUCUAGUGGGUGGGCUUCAUUGUUGAAGUAUGAUUUAUGGUGGUCAGGCUCUACUAGUGGAUUUUGUUCUCUAGUUUGGAAGGAGCUCNAUUGGAAAAAGCUCAAACUAUAUAAGCUCAACUAGAAAAAGCUCGAACUAUAGGAGGUCGACCUAAGAAAGACCACCUAGACGAGGUUGGNGAGGAGAGCUCGGUUAAAGAAGCUCAGCUUGUUUAGCUUGGUUGAAAGAGCUCGCCCUAGAGGAGGUCGACCUUAGCGGGAUGGCUNGAAGGAGGUUAGCNAGGGGAANUCGACUUGUAAACGUCAACUGAAGGAGCUUGGCCUGAUGGAGGUCGGCUUGGCAUGAUAGAGGUCGGUAUGUAUGUGCAUACAGUACAAUAGCUUUGAAACUUUCACAAUUACGUAACCCUUUUACUGUCCAUGAGGGACUACCAUGUGAUAAUUCCAUAUUUCUCUGAAGAAUAAGUUUUUUGUGAGGUUUGGUUGCUUGAUGUGGUUCAAAGUGCGAAUUUGCGUUUCAUGGUUCAUUGUGUUUUUGGGUUUGCUAGCCUAGCANAAUGGUGGUUCUUCCUGGUUUGCUUCUUAUUUGUUGGAGAUAGGGUUUUGCGACUUGGGAUUUUGUGUUGUCUCACAGUGGACGAGGAUGGAACUUUAGUGGAUUCUGAUGACUCGUGAUUUAAACUAGUUUUUCUAUAGGUGAGGUUUGAAGCUGACAUGAUUUAGGGAUUUAAUGGGAGGGNNUUUUGGUUUUCACAUGGUGAAGCGCGACUUGGGAGAUAGUUCCGCAGAUGGUGGUUGAUGGAGGCAGAUCUGUGGGUUGUGGUCGUGAUAAACAAUGGUUGAUAGUAAUGAAAUUUUUUAAUUUGGGGUUGUUCGAAAGAACAAUGGUGAAGCGUGACUUGGCUGAUAGUUGUGCAGAUNACGUAGUUGCGUGAAUAGGUAGUGUGAUGAAGGAGGUGCACAUUGAUUUUUGUGUUGUGGUUGAUGAUGGACAUUACCGACGCAAUUCUAACAUGGUUAAAGAUGAAGUGGAUCAUGUUGUUCAUGAUGCNGUGGUGCUAUGGCCACCAGAGGUUGAAGGAUCAAAGGUUGAAUGAUAUGGAGCANAGGGUAGAUAAUGUAGAACAGGAAAUCAAGGGGUGGCCAUGGUUGAUGGUGGUGGGAUUGCACUCUCCAUGGAAGGACCUUGUGUGUGUUUUGUGAGGAAUAAGGGGAUGAUGCAUUCACGCUUCCAAUGUCACCAUUAUCAUCAAGCGGAAGGGCGAUGCUUUAGUUAGGAACUAUGUUUAAUUAUUAACACUUGUGCAUUUGUUUUAGUGAUGGAUAUGGUUGAGCCUGACAAGAUGGUUCCUCCUUAUUNAGGUUGGUCAGAGCUCCUCAAUCUUUAUGGUGUUGUAUGAGCAUUUUUUUAUGACAUAUAGUCGUUGUGUGUGGUGAUCAUGAGAAUGUGAGGUUNGGGAUAUGCUUUACUUGAGCUCUAUGGUAGAUGUCAAUGUUUUUACUUAGAUCUUGAGCGUAAACUCUGCAGAUAAGUGACAAGAUCCUAAUGAUCAUUUGAUCGUCCCUUUCGUUUAGAUAUGGUUUCCUCAUUUAUGAGAGGAGAAGAUGUUGUGGACAUAUAUUCUUAUUAUAAUAAUACUUAUCUAGGAGAAUAAUAACAAUCUAAUAAAUAAAAACAGAAAGAUAAAUAAUAANCAAUACGUCAAACUACUUAGAUUUAAUUAUAAUAUAAAAAUAUUAUAAAAACUUUGAGGUGCUUCAUAUUAAAGUGUCAUAUUGGAAUAUAUAUAUAUAUAUAUAUAUAUAUAUAUAUAUAUAUAUAUAUAUAUAUAUAUAUAUAUAUAUAUAUAUAUAUAUAUAUAUAUAUAUAUCAUGGAUGGAAAAUAAUUUAACACUUAUUCUUCAUAUCCAAAAAUAAAUUAUUAAUUAUUAAUUUUUUUCAAAUUCUAAUUAACUUUUUCAUUUAUUAAUUAUUAGCUUUAACUAUGUAAACUGAUUUGUCUUUUAACUACGUAGAAAGAAGUUUUUUUUUUUUUUAAGAGAAAGUGUUAGUUUUGAUAUCUUGGUGUAAAGUUUGGUGUAAAACAUGAAUNUUCGUAUUGUUCAUUAGAGUAACAACUUACUAGUCUCUUGCAUUUUCAAAGACGAAUUUAACCAUUUACUCUUGAAUGAUAGCAAUAUGUGCUAUGCAAUACAAAUUUUCUUGUAAGGUUGCAAUUAUAAAACAGAGGGUCCAAUGUAGUUUUUAAAGCAAAUACUAACAAUUGUCUUAGCUGGUAUUUAGCUUUCCUUUAUAGAGAAUAUAUAUAUAUAUAUAUAUAUAUAUAUAUAUAUAUAUAUAUAUAUAUAUAUAUAUAUAUAUAUAUAUAUAUAUAUAUAUUCACAUGCUUUUUUGUUUAUGUAAACUGUGCUUGCUUGGUUGAAUAUAUGCGAAUGUAUUUGUGAAUUUUAAUUAAUAAAAUAUCCUUUAUUUUUCUUUAUUCGUCACUAAACUAAUCUAUUUUCACUAUAUGUUUUGUUGGCAAAGAGUUGUAGUCGAGAAGGGUACAAGAAAAAAAGGUUGGAAGUAUGGAAAUUGUGUCGAAAAUAUUUGAUCCAGCAAUUGAGUUUGUGCGGGAUCAUGGUAUUAGGCAGGUGACUUACAUUUUUUGUUACACGAAAAAUUUUAAGGAACUACAGAAGAAAGUUAAGCGUCUAAGAGAAAUAAAAGAGAGGUUAGUUCGUCAACACGAUGAAGCUAAAAGAAAGGGUGACAUAGUUGAAGGUACGGUUGAAGAAUGGUUUGUGGAAGUGGGUGAAUUUGAGAGUAGUGUUGAAAACUACAGCAAAAAUGCAGGUCACAAGAAGACAAGGGGUCUCUAUUAUUUGUUUCCUUACUAUAGGCACAAACUGGGCAGACAAGCAAAGAAGAUGGAAAUAGAGGCUUUGAGGCUAANAGAUGAGUCCCCCAAGAUUGACGAAGUUUCCCAUGCAGAGAAAGUAACAUCUUUUGACCUCACUUCAUCUAAUUCUGGCUACAUUGAAUUUAAUAGUAGAAAAUCCAUUAUGGAAGACAUAAUGAAAAAACUUAAAGAUCCCAAUAUGAAAAUUAUUGGACUCCAUGGAUCACAAGGGAUGGGUAAGAGCACUUUAAUAAAAAAAAUUGCUAAUAAAGCUAAAUAUGAGGGGUUAUUUGAUAGGGUGGCUGAAAUAGAUGUAACUAUCAAUCUCAAUCCACUUAAUAUUCAGGAAGACAUUGCAUAUGUGCUAGGAUUGCAACUAACAGGGGAAAGUGAAAAUGUAAGAGCUGAUUAUCUAAGGAGAUGGUUAAAGAUAGAAAAUGUGAGCAUCCUUAUAAUCUUGGAUAACCUUCAUGAAAGAUUAGACUUGAAUAGGUUAGGGAUUCCGAUUGAUGAUGAUUAUGACUUAAGAAAGAAGAAUGAGUUAAGCAUAAGGUCAAGUAAAAAAGAUAAAGACGACAACACACAGGGUACCGACGAAAAAGUGCUAAAAAAAGCAAAUUUUCUUGCUGAUUAUAAGGGAUGCAAAGUUUUGCUUUCUUCACGUUAUAAGAAAGUAUUUCCUAAUGAGGUUGAUGUUGAGUCCAAUUUUUGUUUAAAGGAAUUAGAUGGCAAUGAUUCAUUGAAGCUAUUUGAGAAGGUGACUGGAGGAGGUAAUAAAAUGUCUAUGCCUAAAGAAGAAAUCCAAAACUAUUGUGCAGGGUUGCCCAUGAGAAUAGUUACAUUUGCAAUGGCAUUUAAAAACUGGAGUGAGUCAGAAAGUGAACCUACACUGGAAAAAUUUAAAAAGCAAGGUCUGGUUAAAUGGAAGGAGUCUUCGGAGAUUCCUAAUAAAAUAAAAUAUGACCUUCCAGAAAAUAAGGAACACAAGUUCAUUUUCUUGCUUUGUGCUCAAAUGGGCCACCUACCCCUGGUUAACGACUUGGUGAAAUAUUGCUUUGGAUUAGGUAUACUUGAAGGGGUCUCUUCCCUUAGUGCAGCUCGGAAAAAAAUAAAUGAAGUGAUGCAAGAGUUGAAAAACUUGAGUUUGGUGUCAUACGAAAAUCCUAAUAUUCAUUUCAGUAUGCCUCAUAUGGUUCGAGAUGAUGCUAUAAGUAAUGCCCUCAUGGAUGACAAUGUUUUUGCUAUCAGAGAUGGAAAACUAGAUUAUUGGCCCAAUCUUGAAAAAUGCAUUUUUAUUUCUAUAUGCAAUAGUGACAUUACAUAUCGGUUUCCUCAAGUCAUAAAUUGUCCACAACUUAAAUUCUUGCAAAUAGAAACUAACAAUCCAUCUUUAAAAAUACCUGAGAGGUUUUUUAGCAACAUGAGAAACUUGUUAGUUUUAAUAUUGAGAGGUUUUCAUCUAUCAUGCUUACCUUAUUCAAUUGAAGACCUAUUGAACCUCAGAAUGCUUUGUUUGGAGCGGUGCACUUUGNNUUGCAAUUUAUCGGUAUUGAGAAAGUUCAAAGACCUAAGUAUUCUCAGUUUUUCUGGAUCUCAACUUAAAAAUUUGCCNGUUGAGUUACAAUACUCGGAUANGUUGCNAUUGCUAGACAUCANUGAUUGUUUUGAAUUGGAGAUUAUUCCACCUAAUCUUAUAUCUAAUUUGACAUGNUUGGAAGAGCUAUAUAUNGGAAAAAGCUUGAUGAAAAUGUUNGUGGAAAGAGAGGAAAGCAAAGGUCAAAAUGCAUUUCUUUCUGAGCUAANAAAUUUACAUGAGUUGAAAGUGGUGGACUUAAGCAUCCCGUGUGUUUCAAUUUUACCCAAUCACUUAUUCUUUGACAGGUUAAAAUAUUACAAGAUUGAAAUUGGGGACUUCGAAAUGUUUUCUAUUGGAGAAUUUAAAAUGCCCAAUAAGUAUGAAGAACUCAAAGUAUUUGCAUUGCAACUGAAGGACGACACUGAUAUCCACUCCCAUAAAGGCAUAAAAUUGUUAUUUAAAACAGCACAAAGUUUGUUGUUGGGAAAGGUAGGUGUUCAAAAUGUUGUUAACGAGUUGAAUAUAGACGGAUUUCAGGAUUUGAAACACUUAUCCAUCAUAAAUAACAAUGACAUCAAAUAUAUCAACUCAACAUGUUUGUCUAAUAGUGUGAACAUUUUUCCCAAUUUGGAAUCUCUAUGCCUCUACAAUAUGAUGAACUUAAAGAUGAUAUGUGGCAGUUCAAUUACACUUGAAUCAUUUGCCAAAUUAAAAACCAUCAAGGUUAAGAUGUGUUAUCAAUUGGAAAAUCUCUUCUCCUUCUAUGCAAUUAAAAUCUCUACUAGCACAAGAUCAAGUGAGAUUAAUGAAUGUAAUUCUUACAAGAAGAAAGUUUUGGCUAGUUUAGAAAUGAUUGAGGUUUGUGAAUGUGAAUCUUUGAAGGAGAUCCUUCAAAUACCGAUGGAUUGUGAUAAGGUUAAGUUUCUCAGAUUACACACUUUGACACUCCAAUCAUUGCCAUCACUCACUUCUUUUAAUACCAAAGUCAAGAGAUCUUGUUGGCCACAUUCGAUAGAUGCUCAAACUACAAAUAGGGAUCACACAGAAAUUUCUACUGAACAAGAUGGCCAUAGUGACAAUGCGCCUCCUCUUUUUGGUGAACUGGUAUGACAUUACAUAUUUUUCAUAUUUAUUUAAAUAAUUAGCUCAUUUGUUGUAAAAAUAUUAAUUGUGUAUGCGUUUCCAGGUUGAAGUUCCAAACUUACAGAACUUGAAUUUAUCCUCACUCAACAUCCCUAAGAUAUGGAGCGACCAACACUUGUCAAGUUUCUACUUUCAAAACUUGAUAAGGUUAGUUGUGAAAGAUUGUGAUAAAUUGACACAUCUAUGUUCAUUAUCUAUGGCUAGCAGUUUGAAGAGGUUGAAAAGCCUCGUCNUAAGUGGAUGUCGUAUUAUGGAAAAUAUUUUUGAGAUUGAAGGAAUUAGUGCAAACAAGGUAUGUAUUGGUAUAAAUACUUUUUUGUUUAUCUUUUAUUUAUCUGUAAUAAUUGUUUGUUUUCAUUAAACUGAAGGUUUGUGUCUUUCCUAAGCUGGAGGAAAUCCACCUUAGCAACAUGAAGAGGUUAACAAAUAUUUGGCAAACUGAAGUCAGUGUUGAUUCCUUUUGUAGUCUCAUUUCCGUAAGCAUCGAAGAAUGUAAUGAAUUGGACAAGAUUUUUCCAAGUCACAUGGAGGGAUGGUUUGAAAGUUUGAUUAACUUAAAAGUUUCUAAUUGUAAGUCCGUGAAAGAGAUUUUUGAAGUUACUGAUUAUGAAGAAAUAGAUGAAUAUGGUGGGAUAGACACAAAUUUGCAGGUUAUUCUUCUUGAAGACCUCCCGAAAUUGAAGGAAUUGUGGAGCAAAGAUCCACACGGAAUUCUCAAUUUUAAAAACCUUCGGACUAUAGAUGUAAGUAAUUGUGAAGAACUGAGGAAUUUGUUUCCAGCUUCUAUGGCAAAAGAUGUAUCAAAGCUUGAACGUAUGUCAAUAUUGCAUUGUGAGAGGAUGGUGGAAAUUGUUUCAAGUAAAGAUGCAUCAGAAGCUAACAAUGAUCCAUUAGAGUUUCCUGAACUAAGCUAUGUGAGAUUAUAUGAGCUUCAAAACAUCAGGCAAUUCUACAAGGGGAGACAUCCAAUAAAGUGUCCAAAGUUGAAGGAAUUAAGCAUAGGGAAGUGUAUGAAGCUUAAAACAUUUUCACAAGAAACAAGUGAUGAAAAGUUUGUUUUCUCAGCUGAAGUGGUAAGCAUUAUUCCAACUUUAUCAGAGUAAAGUUUAAUCAAAUUAUAUGCCUUAUAAAGAAUAAAAGAAAUAUAAUUAAAAAUAUGUAAAAGAAUUGGAAAAAUGAGAACCAAAAUAAAAUUAACGAUUGUGUAAAGUUGAGAAAAAUAAAAGUAAAUUAAAUCAAAAAUUGAGUUUUAGGAUUAUUUAGUUUUAAAAAGAAAUAAAGGAUUGCAAUUUUAUUUUUAUUGUUAAAUUUUAUUCAUAUUAUUAUUUUCAGUUUUAGUGCUAUUAUUGUAAUAAUAAAAAGUUUGUAGUUUGUAUAAAAAUGAUAAGUAAUUUUUAGUGAAGGCUUUAUGGUCAAAUCUAUAUAUUUACACAAGUGUUUUGUAUAGAAUAUUAUAUAUAUAUAUAUAUAUAUAUAUAUAUAUAUAUAUAUAUAUAUUAUUAGUUUUUAAUUAAUAUUAGUUGAAAUUCUGAAUGAUAAUAAAAAUUGUUUUAAGUAAAUAGCAUAGCUUCAAAGGAAACUAUAACAUUAUUAAAAACGAGGUUUAACUAAUAGUGUUUUAUUUUCCACAUACAGGAUCAAUGUUUGGGAUUUCUAAUCUCACAUUUUUCUUUAAAAAUCUUACAUUAAUACAUCCAUGACAUUAAUAUGAAGUUCUUUAAAGCAUGAUGUUCCUAUUUUAGCUCAUUAUUUACGUUUUUUAAAUUGACAAACAACCAAAGAAGAACAAAAACCAUACAUAAUAAUCAUAAACAGUUACAAAGCAAACAAAAAUGCCUAAAAUCAAAGAAAUUUGAAUGUAGGCAUUUAAUUCAUUCUUCUUACUAUUUAUUUUUAAUGUUUAGGUAUUUCCGAAGUUGGAGUAUAUGGAAAUUGACUUCCUGGAAGCCCAGAAUUUGUUAUCCAAGUACGAAAUGCACAAUUUAAAAGAGCUUAUUAUCUUGAGAGCAAUCGAGUGCCCAGAUCUUUUCUACCCCUUUCUCUACAAAAUGCCAAAUCUAGAAAAGUUAAAAUUGACUUUCGGAUAUUAUUCAUCGUAUUACAGAUUGCAAAGUAGAAACAUUGGGCAGCAUGACAGAUUGGGAGUCGUAUUACAGUUGAAGCAAUUGAUUAUUCGUUCCUCAGAUAUAAAUGAUAUAGGAUUUGACCGGGACCAAGUUCUACAGAGAUUGGAGCUUUUGAGCUUGAAAGAAUGCAACGAAUUGAAGACUUUAGCUCCUUCUUCUGUAUCGUUGAGUUACUUGACAUGUUUGAAAGUAAAAAAUUGUGAGGGAUUAAGGAAUUUAAUGGCAUCCUCCACGGCCAAAAGCAUGGUUCGACUUAAGACUAUGAAGGUAAUCAACUGUGAUAAGGUAAAGGAAAUAGUAAGCCAUGAGGAAAAUGAAGAAGACAAAGUGAUGAAAAUUGUAUUCAGCAAAUUGAUAUCUAUAGAACUUGUGGGGUUAAACAAACUCGUAAGCUUUUGCAGUUACAAGGACUGUGAAUUUGAAUUUCCAUCACUGGAAAUAUUGAUCGUAAGAGAGUGCCCAAAGAUGGAAAAAUUCAGUGAAAAAAGAGCAAUAGCACCAAAGUUGAAAGAUGUAUUUGGUGUGGAAGGAGAUGAAAAAGCCAAAUGGCAGUGGAGAGGUGACUUGAAUGCUACCAUACAGAAGGUUUUCAAUGAUAAGGUAAUUACUUUUUCCUUUAUUUAAUACUAUUUCUCCUAAUUUUAUGAAUUUUUCUUUUAAAGUGCAAAAGAAUAAAAAAUCAUGAUUGGAAUUUACAAAUACAUGUUUCUGCCAUAGAAGCUUUAAAUAGCAAGAAUGUUGAGUUUUGUUUUGGAUUACUUUUUUAAGUCCUUUUAUCUAUUUAUUUAAUUAGAUUUGGUUCUUUUAUUUUUAAAGAAUUUAAUAUAAUAUAAUAUUAAUUUUCUGAAAAAGCAUUCAAUGUUGUAAAUUUCCAUUUAAACAAAAAUACACCCUGAACAACUAACAACGAACGUGUAUUUUCACAGAUACUAAGUGAUUUUCACACAUGACAGCUACAAAUUUUCAUUAUAAUUAAUUAAUAGAUUUUAUAUAUUGAAAUUUAUGUUUUUAAAAUAAAAUUAACACAAUAUGACACGGUAAUUUGUUAGUUAUUUUAAAUUUAUAAUAAUUAAAAAUAAUUGUAAUAUAACACUUUUAAUAACUUUACUUAUAUAUAUAUAUAUAUAUAUAUAUAUUUAUUUAUUUAUUUAUCACUAUGAGUAUUUUAAAUUAAUAAACUUAUUUUCGGAUAUAUAAGUAUUUUAAUAAAUUUAUAGUAUUACAUUAUACUUGUCUAUAAAAAAGAAAUAGUAUUACUAUUUAUUUUAUUUUAUAUCAAUAGUUUUGUUAGAGUAAUGACUAUAUUAAAUUUAAUAAAUAUCAAAAAAAUAUUUACAUAGUAAUUUGAUAAUUUUAAUUUAUACACCAUUUUUACUGUUAUUAGUACUUAUAAAUAUAUUAUAAAUGAAAAAAUAUAUAUUUAGUUAUUUUAAAGUUAUAAUUUUAAAAUUAAAAAAUACUGAAUUAUUGAAGUGAGAAUUAUAGUAAAAGCUUGUAAAUUUGUUUUUUGUUUAACUUUUUGGGGGAUAAAAAAAGUAUGAUUAUAGUAAAAGGUAGAGAAGUAAUUUAAUAAUUUGUCUGAUUUACAGGUCAGUUUCGCAUAUACUGAAGAACUGUGGUGGCUUGAUUAUAAUAUUAUAAAGCAACUAUGGAAUAACACUCAUUGGGGGCAGCAAAAUAACUUUGGGUAUUUGAAAAGGUUGAGCUUAUCGGGAUGUGAUACUCUAACGCGUAUAAUUCCAUAUCAUUUGCUUUCUUGCUUUCACAAUUUGGAAGAGUUAUAUGUAUUCAGUUGCAGUAAUGCAGAGGUGAUAUUUAAUAUGAAUGGUGAGAACAGGGUGAUGACAAAAUCUUCCGGAAUAUUCCGUCUGAAAAUAUUGUCUUUAAGUUUCCUACCAGCACUGGAGCAGGUAUGGGACAAGGAUCCGGAGGGAGUCAUAGGCCUUCAACUGCUAAGGGAAAUGCGUGUUGAAGAUUGUAAGAGUCUUAAAAGUUUGUUUCCAGCAUCGGUAGCCAAACAUCUUACGAGACUUGAUGUACUUAUAGUAACAGACUGUGAGGAAUUGGUAGAAAUCUUUGAGAAGGAUGAAAAGGAUGAGAAAGGAGAAGGAGCAACACAUGAGUCUGUGUUUCCUCGUCUCACCACAUUGACGCUGAAGCAAUUGCCACUCCUCAAAUACUCUAUACAAUGCUCCAAACAACAGGUAAUUCUCAAAACUUUGCCUUUAUGUGACAUUCAAAAGUUAUUUAAAUAACAGAGUCAGUACAUAUAUAAACAUAUAUAAGAACGACAAACAAAUACGCCCAUAGUUUUAUGCCUGCUGCACUCGGAAAAUUCACUCCCCAAAUUUGGAAAAGGUAUUCAACGGGGAAAUUUUCACUCAUGACAAUAUACCAUGAACUUGCUUUUCAAGUUUUGGCAUAAUCCAAGAUGCAAGAAGCAAGGAUCAUAACUUUUUUGAGCUGCUUGGGGAAUUUGCGAACUCAAUUUUAUGCUCUCUUACUCUUCUUCUUUCUCUCUCCACAAUCCUCUAAAAAUUAACAUUCUCUUAACAUUAAAGACUCUUUUCCAUUUGAAUUAAGUGAGACAAGAUGAACAGACAAAUUUUAGAUAUAAAAGUGGGAGUUCAACCCAACAAUAAUAACAUUUUUUAUUUAGCAUUGUGCUACAUCACCCAUUUUAAACCUCUUUAGUUUCUCUUUUAAUUCUUAUCAUCACACCUUGAAAUGAAAUUAUUCCUUCAAUUUCUUUCCAUAAUACGGUUACUAUUAAUUAAUCAAGAAAUUUCCUUUUUAUUCUGUACAAUCUGUUAGUAUCUAUAAUCCCAAUUUUGUAGGUCCCCGUUUUUAUUUUAUUUUAUUAUUAUGAUUUCUUAGUUUAUUUUUCUAUUUUCAUGUUGUAAUAAUUAUUAUGGUAAUCAUGAAAAGAUAUUCCCAAAAGUUAACAUUUCAAACAAAUUCCGAUGUGCGACAAAAACAAAUUUCUAAAUCUAACUUCUUUUGCAGGAGAGUAUAUCAAAUUUGCGUUUUAAAGAAAUACAAGAGUUAUGUCUUGGCUCACGGCCCAUCCCAAACUCCUGCUUCGGUCUCUUAGAUUCUUUGAUUGUGGAUGGGUGCAAGUUUUCAUCAGAUGUACUUCUACCAUUCACUUUACUUUCUUUCUUAGCUAAAUUGGAGUCGUUGGAAGUUAGAAAGUGUGAUUCUGUCAAAGUUAUUUUUGAUGUCAAAUGUACAACACAAGACAUGAUCACUUUUCCUCUAAAGAAAUUGACUUUAUCCCAGCUACCAGAUCUGAAGAAUGUUUGGAAUGAAGAUCCUCAUGGAAUUCUAAGCAUGCACCAUCUACAAGAACUACAUGUUAAGGAAUGUAAAGGCCUUAAAAGUAUGUUUCCAGCCUCAGGGGCCAAAGAAGUACUACUACCAUUCAAUUUACUUCCUUUCUUACCUAACUUGGUAACGUUGGAAGUUCGAAACUGCGAUGGUGUCAAAGCCAUUUUUGAUGUCAAAUGUACAACACAAGGCAGAGAUAUGACAUCUCAGCCUUUUUCUUUGAAGAAUUUGACUUUAUCGAAGCUGCCAAAGCUGAAAACUAUUUGGAAUAAUCCUCAUGGAAUUCUGAACAUGCGGCAUCUACGACAAGUACAUGUUGAGGAAUGUAAAUGCCUUAAAAGCGUGUUUCCGGCAUCAGUAGCCGAAGAUCUUUUGGAACUCGAAAGUCUAGUGGUAUUACACUGUGAGAGAUUGAUGACUAUUGUGGUAGAAGACAAUACAAAUGGAAGUCAAGAGUUUACGGUACCCUGUCCCUGUGUGAGAUCAGUGAAACUACGGGGCUUGCCCAAGUUCAAGUAUUUUUACUACUACUCUCUCACGUCUCACACUUACAAGUGUCUAGAAUCAAAUACCGAGAAUCAAGUCGAUACUGAGAAGGUACGUCCUACUAUUUUACCACUUCCUAUUGAUGCACAAUAUGUUAUCAGUUUCUUUAAUAGUUUACCGUUGUUCAAUAUGAAUAGUACAAAAUACUCUUUAAAAAUAUGUAACUUUCAAGUAUAAAUCUUCUAUCUUCUUUCCCUGUUAACCCCACUUUUGUUUUACAAAAGAACAUGUAUUUGUAUAGGAUAACCAUUGUAACAGAGUCUAUUUAUUUAUUGGGAAGUUUCAAUAAUUGAGUAGUUAAGUUCUUAAAAAGUAAAAAUGGAUAUUUAAAAUUAAAUUUGAAGGCAACUGCACAAGUAUCUCUCUUUCCUAAAAUUACAAAAGCUAAUUCGAAAACAUAGGUAAAAAAAGGAGUAGUGAUUAAUAUAUUAUAUUAUUAUAAUUUAUGAAAAAAAAAUAAUAUACGUAUUAGAUUAGUUAAAAUUAGUAUAUUAUAUUUUAAUAGAAAAUUAAACCGUAAUAUUUUAUUAAAACCAGUUAAAUAAUAAGGUUCAAAAAACAUGUAUAUGUAUAAAUAAGUAAAAGAAUACAAAUUAUGAUAGCAACAAAAUAAGAUGUGAGAUCAAUUCCAUAGAUUAUUAGAGACAAUAUUGUACUUUAUCAUCAUUAAAACAAAAUAAUGGUGCUUCAACCUUAUAAACAAUCUUCUACUAUCAUAGGUAAUAUGUCACUGAUUACCUAUCAAGCAUCUUUCAACAUAAUUUCCCUAACUUGCUUUUUCUUGUGUGUGUGUGUUUUUGUUAUUACAGAGUCUGAUACUUGCCAAAUAUGAAAUGGAGAAGAUUUCCGGUGAAGAAUUUCACAGAAAGCUCUUAAACAACUUAAAAGUUCUUACUCUCUCUUUUGGAUGGGAUGUACUUCAAUAUAAAAUUCUAGAACAGGUUCCCAAUAUUGAGAAGCUUGUGGUGUGUUAUGGUUCUUUCAAAGAGAUGUUUUGUCUUGAAAGUCCUAAUAAUGUGAAUUAUAGUGGACUUCUAUUACAACUGAAAACAUUACGAUUGGAGUCCCUUGAAGAGUUGGUUUCCAUUGGGUUAGAAAAAUCUUGGACUGAAUCCUUUGUCAAAAAUCUAGAAACUUUUGAAGUCAUUAGUUGCUCAAAAUUGAAAAACGUGGUAGAAAGCAAAGUGUUUCUCUCCAAUUUGACAUAUUUGAAACUUGAAAGUUGUAAUAGCUUGCAAUAUUUGUUCACAUCCUCAACGGCCAAAACUUUGGGUCACCUUAAAGCAAUGGAGAUAGAUAGUUGUUACUCAAUUGAAGAGAUAGUGUUUAAGGAGGACGGGGAGAAAUCAGAUGAGGAGGAGAUAAUAUUUCCGAAACUCAUUCGUUUGAAUCUUUACUAUUUACGGAAACUCCAAUUGUUCUAUAGAGGGAGAUUAUGUUUCCCAUCAUUAGAGGAAUUGUUAGUACCAGGUUGCACCGAAAUGGAAACUUUCUGUAUUGGUACGAUAACAGCAUGCAAGUUGUCUCAAGUUAAACUUGGACGAUAUUCACAAGCUAUUCCUAUAGAAGAUGAUCUCAACCAGACUAUGCGGAAGGAAUUUCUAAAAGAGGUAUAUGUUUAAAUUUAAUAUUCUUAAUUCAACAUGGUUAUGAUUCUUUUCGUUACAAUACCCAACCUCAGUAUGAAUUGAAUUUAUACUCUGCCUUCCAAGAUAAGUAUGUUAAAUUAUUUUUAUUUUACUUUUUAACUAAAUAGUAUACAACCAAACUAUUCUUUCAUUACUACUUAUAUAAAAAAAUUAAAUAUAAGAAAAAUAUAAAAAUAUUUUCUUCAUAAACUAAAAUUAACUAACAUUAGUUGAAAAAGUAUAAUAAUUUCUUUUCUCCCCUGCUAAUAUUAAAUACGAUUCUUAAGAUAAAUAUUUUAAAAAAAUAAUAAUUUUAUCGUAAAAUUUUUUGACUGAAUAAUAAUAUAACUUUUACUUUUCUACUAGAUAAACUAUUGUUAACUCUUUUUCUAUACAUGCCUUGGUUGCACUUUAUCAAAACACAUUUUUCGAAAUUUUUAUGACUUAAAAUUCAAAUUAAUCAUCUACCAACACAUAGACGAAUCGUAACUUGACCUAUAAUAACUUUUAAAGUUUAUUAAAAUAAACUAUAUUUAUCAUCAAGUGGUGGGAAGCUGACUAUAGUUAUUCGAAAUACUAUUCUAAUGAUUUAUCAUCUUUAAUAAAAUAUACUUUCAUUUUAAAAUUUUAAAAUAUUUAAUCAAUCAUAUUGAAUCAAACUAUUUAUUACUUUAAUAGAUGAAGAGUAAAAUUAUAAAUAUUUAAACCACGAUACUUAUUUGUUAAUACAUUUUAAAAACUAUCAUUUCGUUAUGUAUAGUAUAGACAUAUAUCCAUGGCAUAUGUUGAAGCAUGCAAGAGGGUUUAGGACAUCUUGGCUGGAAAACUUUAGACAUAAUUGGAUAAUUCUUUUAAAAUAAUCAGAAAUUAUAAAUUUUUAAAUUCAUAAAAGUAACUUUUAUUUAUCUCUUAGGUCUCGAAGUCAAGUAUUGUAAAUUAGAAGACGUGAUUCGCUAGAAAGUUUGUAAUAAAAUAAUGGAUUUCACGUUUUUUCUAUUAUUUAUUCUUUUGCACUUGCAGACACUAGGGGAAACAAGGAUUGAUCUCAAAAAAAAAUCCAAGACUACUCAAGAUAUGGAACAACUCAAUGCAGAUCCCUCGUUUCAGUAAUCUGAUCAGAUUGACUGUGACUGACUGCGAGUUUUUAUCAGAUGCAGUGCUACCCUUCUAUUUCCUUUCUUCAUUACCCAAAUUGGAAACAUUGCAAGUUCGAAACUGUGGUUCUGUUAAAACCAUAUUUGAUGUCAACCCUACAACAGAAGAAGACAGAUUAAUUGUUUUUUCUCUGAAGAAAUUGGUUUUAUCGGAGCUGCCAAGGCUGGAAACUAUUUGGAAUAAAGAUCCUCGUGGAAUUCUAAGCAUGCGCCACUUAGAACAAGUGUUAGUUUAUAGCUGUAAACGCCUUAAAAGCGUGUUUCCGGCAUCAGUAGCCAAAGAUUUAGAGACACUUGAAACCUUUGAAGUCAUUAGAUGUAAGAGUUUAAAAAACUUGGUAGCGUGCACAGUGUCUUUCUCCAAUCUGACAUGUUUGAAAGUAAAAGGUUGUGAUGCCUUAUCAUAUUUGUUGACAUCCUCAGCAGCCAAGCGCUUGAGUCAACUCAAAAGAAUGGAGAUAAAGGAUUGUGAUUCAAUUGAAGAGAUAGUGUGUAAGGAAGAUGGGAAGGAAUCAGAUGAGGAUGAGAUAAUAUUUCCGCAGCUCACUUGUUUGGAUCUUUAUCUGCUACUGAAUCUCAAAAGGUUCUACAGAGGAAGUUUAGGUUUCCCAUGCUUGGAGGAACUGUCAGUAACAGAAUGCGAUCAAAUGAUAACUUUAUGUCAUGGAAGUAUAGAAGCAGCCAAGUUGUCUCAUGUUAAACUUGAUCAGGACUCAGAUGCUAUUCCAUUGGAAACUGAUCUCAACUCUACUAUGAGGAAGAAAUAUCUUACAAAGGUACGUGUUUAAUUUUAGGACACGUGUCAUCAUUUUAUUGGUCUAUUUGAAUUUAUGUUUAAAAAAUAUUUAAAACAAACCAAUCACAAGCUACCACGUAUGCAUUGUCAAAAAGUUGUUAAAAAAGUGUUGUUAAAAAAAGUUUUUCCUUAAUUUUAUUGUUUUUCAUUGAAUAUUUAUGAUACAUAUCUAAGUAUAUGAUGGAAAUUGUGUAUUGUAUUGGCUAGCAAGGAACUUUUUAAUCUUGGUACCUUAAUAUUCAUAUUUUAAGGCUCAAACUUAUUAGUAAGGAAGACAUAAAUAAAAUAACAUAUGUUUUCAAGUUAAAAAUUUUGCGGAAAAGUUUUAUUAAAUCAUUUUUAAUUAUAGGAAACUUAUUUAUUUAUCUCAAGUUAUUUUAAACACACUUGUUUUUUCUUUAAAUUUAAAGUAAGCAAGAUAUAUUGUACCUUACAAAUUUCCAUUUUUUUUAUAAAAUGCAACAAAAAUACAUUCAAAAAGCAAAUAAUUUAUAUGUUAACAAAAUUUAAAUUCUCUAUCAUUAAAUUAUAAUCAUUUUCAUAAUAAAUUACUUUAAAAAUCUUAUUUGACAAAAAUUAUGAUAAACUGAUGGUUUGAAACAUUGUUCCAAUAACCAUACAAAUUAAAUUAAAUUUAACUUAAUUAACGUACUCAUAGUAAAUCGUAAAUUUAUUAAUUAAAAUAACUUAUAAAUAUAAAGAAAUAGAACAGAAUCAAAUAUUUUUUAUAUGCCAUUUUAACAUUAAUUUAGUAUCUUUACUGAUAAUAUAUGUUUUUAAUUAAUUUUAAAUUUUUAUAACUUUUAUUUAUUAAUAAAUUGUUAUCAUUAUAUUUAUUUUAUUUUUCAUUGCUAUAUAUUUAUCAUAAAGAAUAUUUAUUAUUAAUCUUCUACUAUGUUUUAUUAUAUUUAUACAAAUUUACGAUAAUGUAAAAAUAACACAUUUUUAAACAGAUAUAUGAUAAUUAAAGUAAAUUAAAAAUAGAUAUAAAAUUAAUCAUCUGUAAUGCAUAAAUAAAUAAAAAUGAUAAAAAUUAAAUAAAUCUACUAUAAUCAAUAUUAUUGGAUUUUAAGUAUAACCUACAAAUUAUAAAAUGAAAAUUAUGAAGAAUAUAAAAAUAUAAUAAUAGUAAUAAUAAUAAUAAUAAUAAUAAUAAUAAUAAUAAUAAUAAUAGAAAAAAUAAUUUGUUAUCAUUGUCAUUAUCUUAUUUAGAAAUAUAUUAGAAACGUUAAUUUUUUGUUACUGUAAAAAAAAUAAAAAUAAUAAAUACUUUAUAUAAAAAUAAAAAGAAAACUUAAUAAUUGUUUUAAAAGAUAAAUAGAUAUAAAUAUAAAAGGUUAAAAACUAAAAUAAAAAAUGUCACUUCUAAUAACAUUUAAAAGUUCUACAAUUAAGUUGCUAAAUUUGUUUUUCUGGAUAUUAGUAAUAGAUUUAGAAAACAUUAGAAAAUAGUUUAAAAGUAAAAUCAAAGUAAAAUUAAGUGAAGAUGUAAUUUGCAUCCUUAUAUUUGAAUUUACUCUCAUUCAUCAAGCUUUUACUAUUAUGAAAGUUGAAUUUUUAAAUUAAUAUUUUUUUAUAUAUUCCUAAACUUCAUAAAAACAAAUUAGAAAAAUUAACAAAAUAAUAAUUUGAAAAGCUAUAGAACUCAAUCAAAUCAAUGACAAAGUUAAUUAAAAAAUAGUUAGAGAUUUUGUUUAUAAUUAACUUCUAUAUUUAAAUUGCCAAAGGAAAUUAUAUUUUUUUUAAUCAAAGGAUGAGCGUAGAAACUAUUUUCAUUUUUAUGAGAAUUAAAUAGAACUUUAAAUGUACCUAAUAUUUUAGCAAUUCCCAAUGUCCCGAAAUAGAAUUGUGGAGGUAAAAUGUAGUAUGAAAAGAAAAAGUAUUAAAAUUGAUGCAUGUAUUUGUGAGUAAUUAGUUAUAAGUAAUGUUGGUUAUUUGUAUAGGAAAACUGUAAAGUCUGAAUUCUUGGUAAUUCUUAUACAAGAUUAAUUUAAUUUUUUUUUUUUUUUUCAUUUACAUGUGCUGAUUUCGAAAGAUUGUAUCAUCGGAAUCGAAAGAGAGUCUUGAAUUUAAAGAUAGGGCAGACCUACAAGAGAUAUGGUGUCUCUCACUGCAGAUACCCCACUUUUCUUUCACUUACUUGAAAACCUUGAUUGUGAAUAAAUGCAAAAUUUCAUCAGAUGAUGCAGUGCUACCUUUCACUUUACUUUCUUUGUUACCCAAAUUGGAAACAUUGGAAGUUCAAAACUGUGAUUCUGUCAAAACCAUAUUUGAUGUUAAAUGUACAACACAAACCUCAACCACUUUUCCUCUCAAGAAUUUAGUUUUACGGAAGCUGCCAAAUCUGGAAACAGUUUGUAAUGAAGUUACAGAGGCUAAUCCAGCUCUUUCAUCAGAAGGAACAAAUUCUAAUCUUACAUUCUCCUGUUUGACGUCAUUGACACUCUUGGAUUUGCCCAACUUCAAUGCAGCACCAACAUUUCAGGUUUGCGCUUCUUCUUUUUUCAAUAACAUAUACAUUCUCACACAUAUGCUUUUAUCAAAUAUAUAUAAUGCCUUAAAAAGUGCGUAAAUCUUGAUAAAUAAUCUCCUACCGACCUUCGAAAUAUUUUUCAUUAUUUUCUUCCUAUAGGAACCACUAUUCAUCUCUUUUAUCAAACUUUUCAUCUGAAAAUUAAUUUUAAAUCAAAAUGGUUGCUGCCUUAUGAGCAGCUACCUGGUCUCCCUAGUAAAUCCUUUUUUGUCUUUUAAAUGGUCUUGUUCACAUCUUUUAUUUUUAUUUAAUCUUGAAAUGUCAGUUUUUCACUAAUUAUCGGGAUUAUUUUGGUAUAAAAGUUCACCAUUUCAAUUUUAUACAGAGAGUUGAAUCUAUGACUUUGCUAACUGCUUUCACUUCGUUAUUGGUUCCUCUUUGUAGCUAAUUACACCGAACUUAGAAAAUCUGAAAGUGGGUGAAAAUGAAUUGAAGAUGGUUGUCGAUGGGAAAAUUCAGAGAAACCUUUUACACAAGUUAAAAGUCCUGGCUCUGUGCUUUGAUAAAAAGUUUGCUGAAUUUUCAGAGUAUGGAUUUCUACAACAGUUGCCAAAUGUGAUUAAGCUUGUGGUGUGUGACAGUUCCUUCAAAGUGAUUUUCUGCGAUGAAAGACCUAAUAAUAGUGAAAUUCUUUUACAAUUGAAAGAAUUACGCUUGGAGUCCCUUCAAGAGUUGGUUUCCAUUGGCUUAGAAAACUCAUGGACUGAACCCUUUGUCAGAAAUCUAGAAACCUUUGAAAUCAUUGAGUGUUCGAAUUUAAAAAACAUAGUAACAUGCAGAGUGUCUUUCUCGAAUCUGAUAUGUUUAAAAGUUGAAAAUUGCAAUAGCUUGUCAUAUUUGUUCACAUCUUCAACAGCAAAAAGUUUGGAUAAACUUCGAAGAAUGGAGAUAGAAAAGUGUGAAUCAAUGGAAGAAAUAAUAGCAAAG